This 50457-nucleotide long non-coding RNA is filed under the name Setaria viridis. RNAcentral's name for it is "long non-coding RNA (SVIR_LNC008644)". The record is from RNAcentral. Lineage: Eukaryota; Viridiplantae; Streptophyta; Magnoliopsida; Poales; Poaceae.
GCAGAGGCAGGCCCAGCGUUUAAGGAGAAACAUGGCAUGAGCAGGGGUGCAGUGAUGUGAAGGGCCACUGUCUGAAUCAGGAUCAUCAACAUGCCUGCCAGGCCACCACCACCCCCCUAAUUGGAUGAUAACGCAUCAUACCAGCCAGGUUGUAUCAACUUGGUAGCAUCAGCUGACAUAAUAGAAAUCAUUGAGUGUUGUGAUGUGAUGCCAAAAUUACAUCUCAUACGACUAACAGUAGACAGGACGACGCAGGAAGGCAGGUGCCAACCAGCUUCAAUCAAUUUUUUUCCCCCGAAAGAUAGCUUCAAUCAAUUAGAUGAACAAAGGAACCAUCUCUCCAAAUCAAUUAGAUCAAUGGUGUUAACAUGUGAAGUUGUAGCUCUAUGCAAAUGCAAGAAACCAACUCUUCAAACCACAGUUGCUGUAUUCAGGGACAAUGUAGUCUUCCUGGUGCAAGGAAGGUGACGCACAUGAACAGGACAGCAAAUGGGCACUAUGAGUGACAAUCCGGCAUCCAUCUCCAUGUAACCAGAGAGCUUGUUUUCAAGCACUAACUCAAUGUACAAAGUUCCCUGAACCCCCCACACCGUGUAGAAUAACCACCAUGCACAAACAUUCUUGCCAUAAAUUUGCACAACCACUCAUACUGAAACCAUCAUAGAUACAAAGGUCAAAUUCCCACUAAGCAUAAUCAUUCUGGACUUCUCUCGCUUGGUAUUCUACUACAGCCAGCUAUAUUUGCCCAGCUAUUACCCCAUCAAAUCAAUGUUGAUCAACUUCUUGUAGUGCCAGUUAGCUUCUCAUACCUAUGGAAUGAUCUCCCUCUGAUCAGCAUCCCAGGUAGUCAACAAACAUGGAUGGUGAUCCUAAUAACAUAAGAGCAAACAGUUAACUAAGUCCAGAUAUCAUACAGAAGGUGCUAAGAAUAUAGUUUGUCCAAUCCAGGGUCUCCAGUUUACAACAGUAUACUACUCGAAUGAAAAAGAAACUAAAGUUUGGAUCUGUAAUGCAAGCAUAGACUAUGAACGAGGAAAAACUCUAUAGGCACCAAGAGUACCAUAAUCGCUAAUGCGCUAUUGGCAGCACACAAAAAAAACAGAGUAAAAGAUAAAACAGAAUAAACAAGCAAUUAAGAAAAGGCAAAGUUUUCUGUAUAGCGCCCAGGCAGUGAUUCAUGAGAUCCCGUAACAACAGCAAACAUAUGUAACAAAGAAAAUCACUACUUUAUCUGUUUCCUAAAAGAUGAAAUACAAAAAGUAGAUCAUUUUGCAGUCCUGCACGACCCAGCAUUAAAUAAUAGCUAGAACUCUAAAACAUGUGGAAACAUCAUUCGUGCGGACCACCCAAAAUGGCCUCCAAGCCAUAAUGGUGUGCAGACUAAUGCUUGGCAAAACCACAAAAGUAUAAUACACAUGAAUUUCAGAACUUGAAUUGCAUAUUUAGCAAGCAGAAAUAACGGUAACCACAUCCAAUGUUUAGCAAGCUGAAAUAACAGUAACCAGAUCGUGCUUAAUUCCCCCCUAUCACUAUUAAUUUCCAUUAAAACGUUCAUGCAACUACGAUGUAAGGGUCAUCUUUAUUACCCUGAUAUUAGCAUCAAUAUAAAACCCAGUAUUUCACAAUGUACACCAGAACUUAAUACAUUCAUUAAUAUGAGCAUGCCAACAAAGUAGAACUAUCAACAAAAAAAAAAUGAGCAUGCCUUCCAUGUAUUCACGGAGGUCAGGUCUCUAAAUAGUGAUUGAACAGAGGACACAUCCUUUGACCCUUGAAGACUCAUUGGACGCAUUAUAUACAGUUCGUUACUAUGAAGCAUUCUAAACAUAAAUCGGUGAAGAUUAACACUAAUAUGACAGGUUUUGGGCACGAAGCAAUAAGGCUCAAAGCGAAUAUCAACAUCCUACUUUACAUUGCAAGAUAUAGUGUUGAUAGUCCACAACUUCCUGUCAAGGAACUUUCAUGCUUUAAAAUAAAGAUCCACAUCACCCAGCUCAGCAGUUCUACACUAUGGCCAAUCAUAUGUGGGAAAUGACAAUCAAAAGCAUCCUAAGAAUUUGUGCUGUUCGCAAACAUUAGCUUCAAAUUGCUACAGAAUUCAUCAACUAAAAAUUAGUACAUCUUGUAUUGCGAUCAACCAUGUGAAAGACAAACCAUAGGUACGGACCAUGACUAAAAUCUUACCGUACCAGGCAAAGCUCUAUGUUCAUCUGUCCUCAAUAGCACUAGGCGCCUCAGUGAUUCAGCCAUAACUACUGCCAGUUCAUAUGAAUUGCUACAAGAAUUGCCCACUUCGGGAUAGGCGCCUCCAUCCACCCAUUGCUUGAUAGGUAAUGGCCGCUUAUCACACCUAAUUGACCUAGGCACCAACCUGUCUACGAUUUAGUGAUUGGUGCUUUUUAAAACACUGUAGGCCAUAUAGACAAAAUAGGGUAGGUUAGGGCCAACUAUACCAAGGCAGAACACAAACAUAAGCCAAUCCAAACAUCUGGCACUGGAAUGGUCUUUGGCAUUCACUACAUCAUGCAUGUGUUACAGAAUCUUAAAAUUGAAAAAAGAAAUUAAUACAACUGUAGGUUUUCCAAAUUCAUAGUGACCUUCACAGCUAUUGAUGUGGCCAGGUUUUCUCCGUUGCUUAACUGGGAGAGUAGAGAACCCAGGCUAGUCAAACAUAUAGGGUUAUAUACGUUUUUUUUGUCCAUUUGUGGUAACGUACUCACAUUGCCUUUGACAUUUGCCACAGACGUCACUACCAUUGAAAUUCCCACAAAACCAAUUCCUCUCUGCUCAAAUCUAAAUGAACAAGUAACUCGCACAAACAAGGACAGGAUUGAAGAAAAAAUGCUAGCCCCUUGAAACCCAAUCAACACGACAUAUUUCACAGGAUUGAAAACCUCUACAGUGGCCAACAUCCCAACACAAUACUAAUGGGUUUUCUGCACGUUCAUAAGUAAAAAAAAGAUGGUUUGCGAAUGGGUUCGCAGACAAAAUUGAUACAAAAGUGAAUUAGGCACCGCAAUAACCAAUUCAUAUGAACCCUGCCUAAGCACCCUGUUGCCAGCCUAAAAUUGCAUUGAUCUUUUGCUUAAUUGACUAUGCAUUGGCAACAAGAUUCUACGGAGUCAAAAGAACCAUUUGAUACAAGUAUAAGUUUGCCAUGUUUCCUGUUGCUUAGCAUAGGAUAUUAUUCAGGGUUAUAGUCAAACAUCUGUUGGGCUUCUUAAUACAUUUUUUUUCUCUAUUUAUAGCACCAUAGUCUCACUGCCGUUGACAUUUGACCCCAACACGACUCUGCCAUUGAUAAUUCUACACUACCAUUCCCUAUCUGCUUUCACGCAAAUGAAGUAGUGCACAUGAACAAAGGGACAAAUCAAGGCUUUGUAUUUUGCACGCCACAUUGGAAUCACACUAUCCCCAACAUAAUGCUAGUCCUUGGAUAGUUGGAUCCACACAAAACCUUCACCGCCUCCGUUCCGAACGUCCAAUUAAGGCAUUGAAAUUAGAGGUAAAUGACAGAAGAGUAAAAAUCACGACUACUACUGACCUUUUCACAACACGACAUCACACUGCCUUGGCGGCCCAUUGAAGGCUGCCUCGGUGGAAUUCUUCCCGCGGAAAACCACCUGCACGCCGUCGCACAUGACCCUCAUGACCCUCCGUCGCGUGCGCCAGCCCCCUCUGUCGAAGACCGCGACGGCCAUGAGCCUGACCUGGACCUCGACCGUGCCCCCUCCUCCACCCCCGCUCUUGAGCGGCGCUGCGUCGUCGGGCCCCACGUAGGCGUCGUCGACGACGAGGCGGAAGGCGAGCGUGGUGGUGUUGCCGGGCCCCUGGCUGAAUGGCGCGAGCGAGGCGACCGCGAUCGGGGAGGAGGGCGCGAAGGAGACUGACGCGAGGGGCGAGAAGUAGGUGACGGAGAGCUUGGCGUUGGGGUUGGCGGCGAGUAGCGCGGCGUCGAAGGAGGCGGAGAGGGAGGAGUUGGAGGGGGAGUAGGCGACGCGGGAGAGGGCGAGGGAGGUGAGGGAGAAGGCGGGGGCCCGCGGGCGGAGGAGCAGCCAGACGAUGAAGGUGGCGGCGCCGAGGAGGAGGAAGGCGCCGACGACGGCCGCGAGGAGGCGGCGCAAGCAGGUCGGCGGCGGCGGGUGGGGCGAGUAGUGGUGGUGGUGGGGCGGAGGGGGGUAGGGGUAGUGGUUGUGGUGGGGCGGCGGCGGGUGGUGGUUGUGGUUGUGGUGAGGGGGGGCGGGGUAGGGGUACGCGACGCCGAAGGCCGCGGUGCCGUUGGCGGCAGCGGAGGGAGGCGGCGCGGCGGCGAAGUAGGGGGCGGCGCUGGGGUUCCCGUUGCCGUUGGGGGAAGGGUUGGCGGGGUAGCCCAUGGCGGGGGCCGGGGGCGGGGGCUUGGAGCCGGGGUGGUCCGGCGGGUGCGCGGAGGAGGAGGAGGAGGGCUGCAUGCCGGAUUGCUGCUGGAUCCGGCGGGGGAGUGGCGCUGCGCUGGUCGGUGAGAGCUGGUGGUGCCUGGUGGUGGGGUUUGCUUUUGGUUUGGCGAGAGGGGGAGGGGGAGGUGAUGGUGAUUUGGGAUCUAACCCGAGUCCGUGAGACGUUGAUUUGUUCCUUGGCCGCAGCAGAUGCGCGCGCACGCGGCGGAUGAAUCCUGUUCCGUUCUAUCUUCACCGUAUUUUCCUCGUGGUUUAUCCCCCUCCGAUUCAUUUAAAUUAUGAACAAAAAUUCUAUCUUCCUCGUGGAUUGCACUGAUGAUGUAGAAAGUUGCAUUGGCGGUUGUGGGGAGAGUAGAUGGAGGACGGGGACGGCGAGGAUGGUCUAACAGCAACUUCAAGAGGUUGCUAAUCUUACCCCCAAUAUCCUUUUUAGGAAAAAAAGAGAGAAAACAUGAACUCCAACAAUUUAUCUAAACCUUUCCUAAUUUUUUAGCGACGCUAAAAAACAGCCUGCCACAGCGUAUAUUUUAGCAUUGGCGUUCCUCCCCCAAUCUUGAUUCUCGUACGCCCGCGCGUCCCUUCCGAUGGGCCCAAUACGAUGACAUGGCCUGUGUUUGAAAUAUUGGGGGCUAUUUAUUAGCGAUCUGCUAUGAACUGAUAUGUUUUUGGGGGAAAUUUGUUUUGGAAAAACCCCUAAUACAUAGUUUUGGGGAAGAAUUUUUUAGAUACUCUUGGAGUUGCUCUAAGGUUUAUUAAUCCCUCCAAAUUAACUGUCAAUUUCACAUUUACAGUGUUUUCAUAUUGAUCAGUGGUGGGUGACAUUGGACGCCAACAAUAAGACACAAAAAUUCAUAUUAAUUUGUGGAUAGAGGGAGUAGGAGUAAGAAUAUGGCCACACGAGCUAUCUGAGUUAUUCAUUUUUGAAUCAACGGUGAGAUGAAUCAUGGACAGGUGAGAAGUACAUGGGGUAGGUGGUAAAUCCACAGUUGGAUGGAGAAAAAUUAACACGGUUGAGAUAGGUCAUGUGGUCAUAUGUAUAUAUGGUUCUACAAUUUUUUGUAGGAGUAAGGAUGAAACGGUGGAUUACACGUAAAAUAAGAACAAGACUUCCCUUCUUUUAUGUGCAUAGACAACAACAUGGCGGACUCCGAUAAUAUUGUUAAGUUUACGAGGAUGUGGCUAUUGUUUUCCGAAGAAGAAAGGCGACAGGGCGGAGAAAAGUGUCCGAGUUAGGUGAUCGUCCAGAGACAGAUGAACACCCAUGUUACUCUUACAAAGGCAGAAACUGAUGGGAGAAGUUUCAGAUGUAUCAGUAAGAACUUCACUGUCAGUGCAUUUGGAACAUGGUUUAUGAAAUCGGCGACCAACAAAAUCUUGAGAUCGACGAUACAUCGUGAAAAGCGAUGUUCAACCCGUCUGUCAAGCUGCACUUCUGGACAAGAAUUGGGAGACGAAUCCUACGAGGGCUUUAGGGUGUAUAAUGAAAAGGGGAACACCGAAAUGGACCAUUAUUUAAAACGCAGCGUCAUAGUGGCUUUAACUGCGAAACCGUGUUAAGCUCAGCAAAGUCCCUGGUACCUGAUGCACGACGUCACUUGCUAUCUACAGAGAAAAGUAGCAUCAAACAACAAAACGUGUGUUUCCUACUUUAUUCUCCUUCGAGUAGGAACGCAAUUCGCAAAAGAGGAAGAGGAAAGCACUGUCCCCCCCUUUUUCCUGGAAAAUUUAGGUUUAUGCCAUUGCUUCAAUUCCAACUAUCAUCUAUAUAAGGCGUGUUUGAUUCUACCUUGCUAAACUUUAAAGUUUAGCAACUUUUAGCUGCUAAACUGCCAAACACCCUUGCUAAAACUUGCUAAAGUUUAGCACUUUAGCAAGUUUUUGGUUGCUAAAACUUAGAGCUCCUUUGGCAGGGCUCCUCGCGAGAGGCUCCUCGUGCGGAGCUAGAGCCGGAGCCGCGGAGCUACUUUUUUAGGCUCCGCCAUGCAGGCCUAAAACGGCUCCGGCUCCUCCCAAAUGUGCCAAAAAAUGGCUCCGCGGUUGAUGCCGUUUGGUGCGGCUCCGGCUCCUCCGUGCUUCGGUAAGCGCACGGAGCCGGAGCCCUGCCAAAUGAGCCCUUACUAAAAGGUAGGCUGGACAACCUGUACCUCUCAUUUAUUGCUUGUCUCCCACCUCCUGCGCAGCUUUAAUAAGGUUAGAUAGGUCUUUUUACAGCUCAUUAAAUGCCUUUUAGCAAGAGUAUCCAAACAGCUUGUGCUAAAGUUUAGCAACUAAAAUGUCGCAAAUUUUAGCUGCUAAACUUUAGCAAGAGUUGCCAAACAGGACCUAAGGCAACAGUAUCAUUGCAAAAGGGAGUUCUAUACUACGUAAAUUUAGGUUUGUGCCAGCUUCAAUUCCAACUAUCAUCAUCUUAGGCAACAGUUUCAUUGCAACAGAGUUAUAUACUCAUGGAACAUACUCUGCAGAAACAACAAAAGAUUAGUAUUCGUCUAUUCGAGCUGCUGAUUGUGAACCCACAGCGUACGUUUCUUUUUCCUUUUUAGGUCAACGACACGAUACGGUUGAGACCUCCAUCAGGAAAUGUCACCAACACUUUUUUUUUUCUUGUUCGCUUGCCGUGUCAGCCACCCAAAUGGUGAUAAAGAGAAUUAGCCUUGCUUUUCUGAAAAAAGAAAAUUAGGUAGUGCUCUGCAGAGCAAACGUUUAUGUCACUAUCUUAUACUUGGUGGUUGCUUCGAAAGAGAUCUCGGCAGGAGCUGUGCUGUAGAACUUACUGGUGUCUGGCUGUACUCGUGUUGUCUCUAUCCGUGCUCAGCGCUUUUGCUCCGCCCAUUGCUGUCCUUCGAAGAACUGGCCUAAAAGUUGGUCCACCGCUUCUGGGCUGUACCGAACGUACUUCUGCGGGUUCUUGUUGUUCUCCACCAGAUUACUGCAAGCCACAGGGUUGAUACAGUCAUAUCUUACUAGCACUUACAAGAUGUCGCAAAUUACUUGUAUAGGAAACAUUGUGUUAGUAGGGGAUCAACGAAAUGAUUUGAUGAUGUACCCAAAGCGUUUGAUAAAAGAUCUAUAGGCGGGCAACAGGACUUCGGCUACAGCAAGCCUCAAGGAUUCUCGCAGUUCUUGAUCAGGUACAAUCCACUGCGAUUGCUUUGCGUGAAGCUCCUCAAACUGCAUAUUGAAAGAUUUAAACCUGCCAAGGGGAAAAGGCACAGUGUUCGAGGAUAAUGAUCUUUAUUAUUGUGCAGAACAACUAAAAGCAAGAUGACGCCUCUAAGUGAUCACCGUUCUUUGAUCAUAGCUCUUGAAACUCCACUGCUGCUAAGGUCACCAGUGCUGCCUGCACCUUGGACGGAGAGUGUCUGAAGAAUCUAGAUAACAGAAGGAGAGUAGCUACUAUCAAAUGUAGUUCUACAUUUAUAUAAGCAAAGAAAACAUAACAAACAUGUUAACGAUGAAUCCACAAUUCCACAGAACUACAAAAGUGCGUAAAAACAUUAAGUCUCUGCCAUUCAGCAUUGCCACAAAUUUUACUAUACUAGAUUGACUUAAAAUAGUAUGUGUGUGCAUUAAGUUUCUUAACAGUGGGCGUACAAGAGUGAUUUCCAGACAUCACAAUUUUCUGAAUUGAAGAGUUAGACCAUACUUGAGAGAUCCAUGUUAUAACCUCAGCCUCAGCAUUAUAAAAAUUCUAACUGGCGUAAACAUAUCAUGUAUGAGGAGCGCUGCUAUACCCUCCUAUAUGAUUUAUGAUAGAUUCAACAGGUAUGCCUCCACAUUGUAUUCACAGAAAUGGAGUUCUAGCGCUUGAUAUUAAUAAAACAGCAAGCUGAUCAUGGCAGAUUCAUUCCCCGAGGAGGGCCAAAAGGAUUCGUACAUCUAACAUCAUGCGGCCAAACAAACAGUAUGUUAUGCACAAUCAUAUAAGAUUUUGCUGAUCCCCUAACCUUUGCCCAAGCAACACGUUUAUACUGAUUGGCAUUUUGCUGAACAAUCCUGCGAUGUCUCUGAAUCCAGUCAUCACCAAGUAUAUCUUUUGCUUCUGAUCUGAGGCAACACAAUGGAUCAUUGAAUAAACAAGUUAUCACAAUAAUAUGUGAUACAGAUCUUGUAAAUACAAACAUACCUGCGAACAGAUCUAACCAUAUAGUGGAUGUUGUUCAUAAGAAAUAAGUAAGUCAGUGCAGCAUCCUUAUACUGUUUAGAUUUUCCAUCCAGGUUAUUCUGUAGGGCCUGCAUUAUCCUUGUGGUAACAGCGGCAAGCUGAGAUUCUGCCUCAGUGCUAUUAUCAAAUUCCUGAAAUAGUAGCUUCAAUGUCGACUGAUAACUGUUCAAAUCAAAGUAACAUUUGUUAUGCAUGCUAUUUCAGAAACAAUAGCAGGUAAACAAUAAACAAAAAAAAGACAUUGCUUGAUGAGCAAGUGAACAAAGCAAUAUAUAACAACUAAUUCAUAACCAAAGACAUUCUAGAAUCUAGAAAAUGCCAAAGUUCAUUGAGAAGAGGCAGGAUCAUAAGAUGCUAUAAAUAACUUCGCAUAGGAAUGACAGCCUACAGGCAAAAUAACUUUCCUGAUUCAAAUGUCUGCAAAUUUUUUAUUUAGUGCUGUGGCACAAUUUUUUUUCCCAAAGGAACCUGCCUGCUAUAAUUGUUUGGAAAUCAUUUCUACCUUAUCUAAAACAAUGGUCUUUAUUUAUUUGUUCUCCUCAAUGGAGAUGGAGGUCAGAAUAAUUCUCAGAAGGUUAAGCAUAAAGCCCCACAAAUCACAGUUGACAUCAUGUUUUUAACAUUAUGUUAGUGAAAUUUAUGUGAUCAACAGUUCCACACAUCCAUGAAUUUAAUAGACCAUAUGAAAAGGGGAAUACUUACUCGAAUAGGAAUUUAACAUAAUUAAUCACAUAGCUAGUCAAAGGGUGUACUGUUCCAUCCUGAACAAUAGUUUUUGAAGCAUCUUUUUCAACUGCCUCCUCAAAAUCUGCAAAUGUUUCCUGAGCAGUCUGUGCCAAGCGCUUUGUUAAGCUUGAUGCAGCUUCUCGCAUCUCAGUGCAAGGUUUACCUUCAAAUAUUUCCUCAAUCUGGUAAAAACAAGGGUACAAACAAAGUAUUGACACUUUCUAAUUAUCAUUGAAAUCAAAUAGUUUAAAAUCACAACCACCAAAAAACUGCACAGCUAAUUAUUCAAACAGAAAAGUAUGUCAAACAUGGCCUCUAUAAAUGACUUCCAGCAUACCUCUGGUUGAAGUUCACGCAUUACUUCAUACAUGUCGAGCAAUACAAACAGCUUUUCAGGGGACCUUUUGCUUUUAGCAACAGCAUCUCCAAAGCUGAAAAGAGUUAUAACACUAUUUGCUGUCAGUUCAGCAAAACAAUGGCCCUUGUUAAAGUUGACACCAUCAAAAAUCUGAUCACAGAUUUUUCUUUCCCCUGCUAGUAGUAAUUUGACCUGUUUGAAAAGCAUAACAUCGUUAGCUUGAUGCUGAAAUGGACAUACAUAACAUGAGUACAUUUUAAGGAGGAUCCUCACAGCUAUUCGCAUGAAGUGUAUCCAGUUUCCAAUUUUAGCCUCCAGAGCCUCCCAUUGCAUUUUUUGUACAUCAUCUUUACUAAGCUUUUCCACGCCAAGUUUCCGAAGGCUCACUUCUAGUGCUGAAGCACGGGAAUCUCUGAAGGAAGAGGGGGGAAUAGAUUGAAUUGUAAAAAUCAAGUGUUAUAUCGAUAUAUGUGGACAGAAAGUGAGAUGGGGAAGGAGCAAGCUCAGGAUAGAUGUAAAACCAUAAUUAUAGAACAUCAAAACUACCUGUAGAUUUUGUAGCAAGACUGCUGAUUUCCAGCCUGAACCAACUGCUGAGCUAUGUCAUUCAUGAGAGGCAAUAUUCUGGGAGGAACCAGAGUUGGGGUCCGGUAUAUGGCAGUCUCCAAGCCUUUGGAUGGAUGAUCAGAGCGGCUCCCUCCAUCAGUCUCGUGGUCACCUUUUGUUGGCCGCAGAGACUUGGGGAGACAAUCAAACAGGCGAUCCGGCUCAAUAGGUUUGCUGGAAAAAAUGAUGUUCAACACAAUUUUUUAGAGAUAAGAAUAACUUCAGGCAUCAGUAUAACUAGAUGCAAACAGACAAAAGCUAACUGUUCUUUCACCAAUAUGCAGGGAAACAGUUGAUAAAUUGGCUGACGGUUCAGGAGUGGGCCUCUGCAUCAGUAGAUGCAUGCAGCCAUAAGUUGACAAUCUUACCUAUAUGUACUCAUCAGUUGUUUAAAUUCCUCCUCAAUCUUCAGAGUAGACUUAGCUAACAGAUUGUUGACAUGAUUCAGGACUACUUCACUGCUCUUGAAGUUCUUAUUUGAGGAAAAGAAGCGGACGAUGCCUUUCAGCACAUCCACUGCCUCCAGGUAGCUCUCCAAAUCCUCAUGGGGACCCCUCAAUAUCGUUGCCUCAGCCUAAAGCACGAAAGCAAAAAAAUCACACUAAGUGAAGAUGCCAAGAUUGUGGAAUUUGAAUUUGAAGCUGGACCAACAAAAAGCCAACAGCAGUAACUUGCAGGAUUAACAUUUCAAGAUGUUUUUCCUUUCAAAAUAGCAUCACAUUCAGAAGAAUACUAUAAUCAUGGUAACCUACUCUAAUCUCAUAAAUAGUAAACAUGCCACUGACCAAAUCCCCUAACCAGCAGAGUUUUAACGGAAGUAAAUAUCCUUCGAACUGAAAAGGCUAAUUUUGUAUCAAUGAUUCCUGCAUUGAACCCAAUUAACAGCGCAUACAGCUUACUCAUGUUAACCCAGACCAAUUAACUCCACACCCAAAUCCACCGCAAAAUUUGAUAAUUUAACAAGAAAUGGGGACCUGCCCUUUUGCACAUUCAAUCGCCCUCAGAUCCAAACAAUGCCACGAGAAAACAUAUCGAAUUCACCACGAUUUCAGGUACAGGGCUAGCAUUCUGACAGAGGGAGGAUCAGCCAACGCACCCGGCGCGCAAGGUCAAACUGCGAGAGGAUGCCGUCGGCGGCCUUGAUCGUCCUGUCGAUGUUCUCGUGCGCCGUCCGGAUCGCGUGCGUCCUCACCUGCAGCCCCACCAAACAGAAGGCUCAAAUUUCAUGGAACGAAGCUGCGGGGCGGAUGGAAUGGGCGAAUGGGACGGGGGCGCAGGUCGGACGUACCUGGGUGGGGCGCAUGGCGGCCUCGAGCGCGGAGAGGCGGUGGUCGAAGGAGCCGAGGAUGGCGACCAUGCCGUCCGUGUUCCCCUGGCUCCGCCGCAGCGAGUCCCGCAGCAUGGCCGCCCGCCGCGACAGCGCGUCCAUCGUCUGCGGCAGCGCCGCCACCGCCAUCCUCCCAGACCUCGCGCCCGCAGACGUUGGAAUAGCGCGAGCGAGCCCUCCUCUCGGGAAAGCCGGGGAGAUCUCGGGGCGCGGGAGAGGAUGAGAAUGCGCGGAGGGAGUUGGGUGGGGGGUGGGGGGGGUGGGGGGCGGACGCGUUCUCCUGUGGGGAGCGCGGGCUAGCGCUGCGUCGCGGUAGCGAGACGAUGAUUGGGCGGUGGCGGUGGCGGUGGCCGGCGGCGACGCGUGGUGUGCGUGUCGCCGUGGAGGGAGGGAGGAAGGGAGGGGAGAGGGAGCCGAAUCGGAAUUGUUCGAGCGCCUCCGGGAGAUUCGUGCGCGCGUGCUGACCGUUGAACACGCUGACGGCUCGGAUCGGAGGUGGCCCCGUCGGCGACCCGGCGCGGCCCCGACGUGCGUGGAUCCAAAUCCCAGGAAGAAGAGCGGCCGGUCGCCUCGUGAUUCGUUCCGUGCGGGAGCGGUGAAGGGCUGAAGACCGGGGGCGGAGGGGGAUGUACGGUCGGGAUGGGCUCGGUGCAUGGGGUGGGUGUAGGGGUGGAGCUAGUGUGGGUGUCGGGUUGCUCGAACGGGAGGGGGUGGGACCGGGGUGAUCGAGCGGCGUUGGCGGUGUGGACCGGGUCCACCGGCCCGCCUUAUCCGGUUCUGGAUAUUGGGAGGCUCUUUUUGAACAGAGCACCUUCGUGAUUCGAACAUUGUUUGUAUACUGGUGUUGUCUAAUGAGCAAUCUCAUGUAUGAUACGUAAUUUUGAGACAGACUUAUAAACAACCAGUACCAUGGUUAUCUUUUUAAGUUGUCUCAUGGUAAUUCUAUUCCUUAAUUUGUGCAUAGAAAAAAAAAGAAAUAUCAUAAAUUGCAUGCAACCACAACUCGUAUAAUGGUGGAGUAGUCAUCUCAUAGUUCUAAAAUUUAGCCUAUGAGGUGGUUGUUUCGCGAAACAACAUCUUUCUCUCCUCCCUCUCUCUCCUCCGUAUCAGCAAAAAUCUUACGUGAUAUUGCAUGAGACGACCUAUAAGAUUGCUGAGGUGUAGCAAUGUAUCUCAGUGAUCCUGGAAUGGAGGGCUAGGGUGGCAACAAGGAACAUGGACUUCACCGUGUACCGGUGUAUCACUACCGAGCAACGUGUUAGAUUUGCUUUUAUUAUAGAUUCGUGAAAGGUAAAAACCUUUUCCCUUAUAAAAAGGGUUCGAUUGAUCUGAAAAUCUCCUAUAUCAAUCCUCUGAUCCAUGUAUCCACCACCAAAAGUCAUGGCAAGAGUCUAUGGUAUGACCCCUAACAAUUAGGUCUAAAAGUGCAAUGAUCUCAGUUGCGUUGGAGCUAAAAUGGUGAUCAUGUCAUGACUAGGCAUGAAUAGUAUCUUCAUUUAUAGAGCUUAAAAAUGUAGCUUUGGUUAGCUGGCAAGUUUCGCUUGGUAGUAUCCUAACUUUUGAUCUCUUUUCCAACAGCGGGAGGCACUUUUUUUUGGGGUUCCGGACGCAGCAAGGCAGCUCGAAGCGUCACGAUCGCAGCUGCACGAGCGAAAACGUGCCAACAAGGAUCCAAUAAGAACCGUGAAGAAAAAGAGCGAGAAAAUUAAAGUACUUAGCGUCCCUGAUAUUUACGUAUUCAUCACGUUUGAUUUUAUCCAAUUUUAACAUAAUUCACAGAAAAAUACGAUAAUAUCUACACUAUUAAAUACUAAUACCUAUGGUGCAUUAAAAGAGACAAAUUUGAUACCAGAGGACUAUAGGCUGUGAUGCUUUUUCUGAAAGUUUGAGUAGGAUUAGAUAAGUUUGAUUUACAAAAAAACUAAAAAUAAACUAUAAUUUCAACUGAAGGUUAUAAAUUGAAAUAAAUAUAAUUUAGAAUGGAGGGAGAAGUCGGCUCGAUGCACCCCUAGUGAAGUGAUAGAGACUGCACCUGAAACGCGACAGGGAACUGCGUGGGUUGGACGAACAGCAACCGCACAAAUUUUAAAAUACGUACGGUUAUCCCCUCGCAGUGUGAUUAGCUGACGACGAUAAUCUAGCUUAAGCGGGCCUAGCUAUGUUAUUUUUUUCUUCCCUAAAGAGCUUAACCCUACAUAUUCUAUGCACGAGAUGAGAGGUGGUGCCUCAGGAAUCUCGCGUGCAUGCUCACCGGAAGAUUUUUUUUGUCUGACAAAGCACCUGCCCUACCUUCCUCAACUCGGUACUUCGCAUUUUUUUUCUUGAAAAGUGGCACUUCGUGUAUUGCAGAUACAUCAGUUGAUCACAGUCUACUUUUGUAGACUGCUAAUUCUACAAAGGCAGACGUAGAAAUAGUUGUAAAACUAGUAGCUAAUGAUAGCCGCCAAAAUUUUAAAACUUUUGUUUGCCAAACUUGAAAACUUGACAGUUUUUUGUGUAUAAACAGAAGUACUAGUACUCACUAACAACGACCACGCAGCUUAGCAAAGAACAAUUCCUCCAUUUCAACAUGCAACUAUGCAAUGUAGCUAGAAAAAGCACGACGACGAUUCUACCGUUGACAAAAGUGGAAAAAAAAUGAAAACUCACUCGUGCCUUGUUCCAGCGCACGACGUGGUGCGUGCCGGAGAUAGAUCGAUCGGGCAUUGGUGAUGAUUAUCUUAACCUUCUCCACUUGGCCUCCGCCACUUUUUUUCCGCUGCCGGUGGGCCCACUUACAUCCAGCCCGCUGCCCCCCAGCGAAUUAAGCGUGGACAAGCUUGCAUCGCAGCCACGAAACGAGGCCCCCACUAUUUUCUUUCUUCUUCUGUUCCCCCCCGGACGGAACGAGAGGCCAGGAGCGGCCGCCAAAUAUCUACCCCCCAGCGGCCACCAGCGCCAGCAGAGCGAAUCACCCCUCGCCUUAACAAGAAAAAAAUCGCGCACCAAAAUAUCUCUCCGAUUAAAUUCACCGGAGCGCGGCGGAGAGGAGAAAAAAAUAUCCCCCGCCCGCCCGCCCGCUCUUCCUCGUGCUCUGCUGCUGGUGGUCGUAUUUGUUGCUGGGCCAUUUCCUCCCCACGCCUUCCUCUCUUCUCUUCUCUUCUCUUCCCUUCCCUCUUGGCGAUGAUCUCCCCGCCUCGCCGCUGACGUGGCGCCCACCGCGCGGGGGAAAAAAAAAUUGGAGAUAUUUUCCCCACCGCUCCUUCUCCCCUCCCUCCUCGGCUCCCUUCCUCCUGCUGCUGCUGCUGCUGCCUCUUCUCCUCCUCUCACCAAUCGGAUGUCUCCCGACGCCGACGCCGACGCCGCCGGUGGGGCUGGUGCCGGCCGAGGGGGCGGAGGAGGAGGGAGAGCGGAUGGCGGCGCGUCGUCGUCCCCCGCGGCGGCGGCGAACGGGCGGGCGGUGGUGCGGUGGGACCAGAUCCUCCCGCGCCGCUCCCUUCAGGUCCUCCUCGUCGAGCACGACGACUGCACGCGCCAGGUCGUCACCGCGCUCCUCCGCAAGUGCGGAUACCGCGGUGAGCCCUUUGUUUUCCUUCCUCCUCCUUCCCCCCCCCCCCCCCCCCCCCCCCCCCCCUCCCCGCGCCGCCUGCUUAGCAACCAGCCUGCCGCUGCCGGCUUAAUCUGAACUCUGAAGAGAAAUCAAAGCUCGAUUCUGAUGUCUCUCACCCUCGCUCUCUCCGGGAGACCCGCAGUGGCCGCCGUCGCGGACGGGAUGAAGGCGUGGGAGGUGAUGCGGGGGCGCGCCUACGCCUUCGACCUCGUGCUCACCGAGGUCGCCAUGCCCACGCUCUCCGGCAUCCAGCUGCUCGCCAGGAUCGUCGCCGCGGACGAGUGCAAGAACAUCCCCGUCAUCAGUAAGCUCCCAAUCCACCCCCCCCCCCCCCCCCCCCCCCCAAUCGACAUGAUGUUUCCUCCGACUCUCCCCGCGUGGCCUCAUUCGUGCUGUUGUGGAUCGAAUCCUGCUUGGGAAAUGGAUUAGGCUUCGCUAGUGGCUAAAGCGGUUACUUCAAGCAAGGGGCUCGGUGUCAGACAUAAUUUUAUGCUUACCGCUCAGUGCUGCUUGGAUUUUAUAUUACGCCCUGCACAUGCUUGUUACCAAAACGGGGUGAUUGGAUCAGGCUUGUUUUGGUAUGAGCAACUUUAACGUUGCUGUACCGGCAUGGUUAGAUUCCCUUCAUGAUGUUCCCCUUGUGCUGUAAGCCAAGUACUGCAUUUCUUAUAGCCUCUGUGGAUAUCGUUCAAGGAUCAACAUGACAAUAAAGUUUUAGGAAUAUAAGAGUGGUGGUAUUUUGUUCACAGGGUUUCUGCGGCAAUUGUAGUUCUGUUCUGCAGAAUUUGAUUUCGUGUAUGCGAUCGAAGGCAAAGUUUUCAAUACAGGUGAUUUUGAGUGGUACAUAGACUGUUUUAGGGUCUAAUCACAUGGUUUCACUGGGAAAUUAUCCCAUUUCAUCAGGUGCUUGUCAAUAAAACUCCACAUAAAGAAGGCCUUGGCUUCUCCAAAACUGAGGUAGUGGUAGUCCUGAAAAAUCAAAAUAGUAAAUUUUAAAUUGCAGUGUUCUAGGUAGCCGUUGGAACCAAGAGACCAAUACCGAUACUGUUACGUACUCAUUUGAAAGCUACUGGAUCUAUACUAAAUAUAGGGGAUGUUUUCAUUAAGUCUGCAAAACAACAAAAAGGCUUUACUAAAAUAGAACACUACUUGCCCCAAAGAACAAAAAAGCUACACAACACGUGAUUGGUGUAUUUAUGGAAAUGCAACCGUGAUUUUAACAUUGUUUUCCUAAUCACCUAAUUUGACCCCAUGAUCAGCUGAUUGGCCUAGUAGAGUGAUGGGCAUAUAUCCGGCACUUAAAGUUAUAAUGGCACAUAUGCCUGAUAAGCUGCCUUGACUUGGAGCACUGAUGAAUCGGAUAUUUGGAUUUGUUAUGGGGUUUCAUGGUUUUUUGACUGGUUGGCUGUGGCAGUGAUGUCGUCACAAGAUUCUAUUGGCACGGUGCUCAAGUGCAUGCACAAGGGGGCGGUGGACUUCCUUGUAAAACCAGUGAGAAAGAAUGAGCUGCGUAACCUAUGGCAACAUGUAUGGAGGCGGCAUGCAGUAAGUUCUCUUUUUGAAGACCUUUAAGAAUGUGCUUUCCUUUGCCACUGGCAAAUUUUGUGUUGCAGCAAAAUGCAGCCUUCACCAAAUGCUUCUUUUGAUUUGUAUUUCUCAACCUAUCUGGAUGUAGUUUGGGCCCCUUUUUCUUGAAACACAAUGAAAGUUAUAGAAGUAGUAUCAAUUAUCUAUUAUGCUAUGCAUAAGUUAACUGAUACUACUUCUAUAAUGUUCACUGUAUGCCUCUUUCUUGAAUUCUUAUAGCAGUAUUGUAUAAUAUGCAUCAAUUAUGAGAUCCUAGGUGAUAUUUCGCAUGCGAUCAUUUUAGCCUGUAUCAGUUAUCUAUUAUGCAUUACAUUUUACUUUAGAAUACUUAGACCUACGACUUCAAUGCAGAUGAAUAGCCAAACAAAUGGAUCGGAGAAUAAUGCAGCCAGCAAUCAUAUAAGUGCCAAUGUUGCUAAUGGUUCAAAGGCAGGAGAAAACAGCGACGAGGAAAGUGAUGCCCAAGUGAGUAUCUGACAUUGCUUUGGCGUUAUCUGACCAACUGGUAUUAAUGUAUGUUUUCAAUUGCUUAUAUGCAUCCCUGCUUAGCUGGACAAUGCUACUAGAACAAAAACAAAGAGUUUAACAGUAAAGUAUUUAAAGACAUGUCUUUUUCUAUGAUAGUUCUUUUCUUGACUUUAUCCAGUGUGUGUACCCAGCACUGUUUACUGAAACCAAUUAGGGUUCAUCAUGUGGUCCUCUAUGCAGUUCUGAUAUAUCAUUUACAUUCAUAUGUAUUUCCUUGCCAUGUUACAUUAUGGUUAUUUUCCCUUGAUCAGAGCUUUGGUAGCAAGAGGGAGACUGAAAUUCAGAGUGUUGAGAAGUUACCAGAUAUCCGUGCGGAUGAAGGGGCUGGCCCUUCCAGAAAAAUUAAACUACAAAAUGAGUCUUAUGAUGGAGUAAACACAAAGUUGCAUGCGUCAAAAGAUAGCGAUGGUAAGGAGUUUGAACAUGAUUACGUAAUGUUUCGUUAACACAUGCUCUAUUAUCGGCAAGUUAAUGUCUACCACUCUGUUGUGCACAUGUAAUAGUAAUUUCAUCUCAUGCAGAUGCCCCAAGUGGAAGUGAGAAGAAUGUGCGUUCCAAAGGCCUUAAUGGUAUUACUUCAGCCAAGGUUGCUGAGCAAAUAAUGGAUAAUGCCUUGAGGAUUGCUGAUGCAAGUUCACGUCGACCAAGCAAUCUUGGCAAAGACUUUGCUAUGGCCCAACCAACAGCUGACGUACAAUGCAAAUCUUCAGUUAUGGAAAGUAAUGCUGUCACAGAGAAUAACCUUGGUGAAAAAUCGAAGGGUGCUGCAAUAAGUCAUGCUAAAUCUUGCCCCUCCCAAUUUCUGGAGACCAACUUAGGAAAGCAACACCAUCUUAAUGGUUACAAAAUCCAAGAGUUCAGGGAAAAAGAUAUCUUUAAUCACUCGAAUUCUUCUGCCUUUUCAAGGUACUUCAUGCUGAUUAACUUCUGAUAUCUAAGUUAUUUGAAUGCAACUAAAAAGUUUUCUGUUAAUCAAUGGUUUUUUGUUAAUCAAUGGUUUUCUUUCCAUGUUUGUUUGUUUCUUUGUGAUGUUACAUGUUUUGGUACUUCUAGAUCUAUAGGCUGAUGUUAGUAGUUGCUCAAAUAUGUUGCAUAACUCUGAUUUGCUUUAUUUUGCUUGCUUGUCGCUUCGACAUGAUACAGAUAUGGCAAUAAAAGGAUAGAGCCCUCAGCUGAGCACCAGUUUUCCCCUUCUCUCUGCAUAACUCAUCAAGAACCUGUUCAUGACAAGGACCCAGUUUCCCAACCCAGUGGGGUGUUGCCUCCCCAUGAACAUAAUACAGGUGAGAGUACAAGGCAAGCUCGGAUUCCCUUGGACAGCAGCACAGAGGGAGCUGCUGUACUGUGUUCCAGUAGUGCUAGAGAAGAUGCAGGCACAAGCAGUUCCUCCCAUAGACAGGACAGUAUGAGCCAUCCUUCAUAUGGGUUUAUACCUCUUCCAAUUCCUGUUGGUGCUGCGAUGCCCUACCAUUACGGUGCAAUUCUGCAGCCAGUAUACUACUCACAGGCUCCUCAUAUGCAUUGUGAUUCAGCUGGGAUCAACAAGGCAGCUAUUCAGCACGCCUCUGGUCAGUCGAAUUACCAUGAAAAUCCUAGUAAACCGUCUCAGGUUGAUGAACACAAACAGUCAGAGGAGAAUCAGCAGUUGCAUCAUUCAAGACAAAUUCUCAGAGAAUCAGAACCAAUUGACUUGACGAGAGGUCAUUUGGAGCACAUCAACCAGAGCGCUAGCUGCAGCCAGGAUAUCCGUAAAGGAAGUGGAUGCACCGGUAGUGGUGAAACUGACAUCCAUACAAAUACUGGGGUUGCCCUAGAAAGUGGCAACGAAAGUGGUAUCCAGAACUGCUGUAACAAUGGGUUGGAUAGUGACCGGUCUCGCCGUGAAGCUGCCUUGAUGAAGUUUCGCUUGAAAAGAAAAGAUAGAUGCUUUGAGAAAAAGGUAUUUAUUUUAUAACAUUUUCAGUUAGUAAAUGACGAUGGAAUGCUUUCUUUAUCUGACUAUGCCUUCCGUUUUUUCAUUUCUAUAGGUUAGAUAUCAUAGCAGGAAAAAGCUUGCAGAGCAAAGACCGAGAGUUAAGGGGCAGUUUGUGAGCCAAAAGCUGAAAUCAGCUACAACAGGGGAUGCAGAAACUGACUUUGAUUCGUAACUGUAAUUUUGAUUCUUCCCUUCCCAUCCCAGGUGAGGGCAAUUGAAACGGUACAGAGUUGAAGGCUGGCAAAAGUUUUCCUUCCCAUGGUUAGCCUGUGUGUACACUCUCUAGUCGGUUGUUUAUUGGCAUUCAAGCCAUAUUUUGUAAAGGACAAAUUGACAAAUGUUCAGUGAAAUAGGCGUGAAUACCCCAGAUUUUGUUUAUGUACUCUAGAUGUUUGUGGAGUGAGGAAGUAGUCUCUGUACAGCUUAUUCACUCAUUUUGUUACCGGUACAAUACAAAAGUAGUAACUUGUAAUUACUACUUCUACAACAACAGACACUGCUGUACAACUUAGAACAGCCUUACAGUUAGCAUGACUUGCUUUCCGUUAAUAGGUCAUUUGGUUGAUUCUGUGACUAAUUAUCUUGAUAAGAGACUACUCUAUGCAGGACAGUUGAGAUUUGUUUGAUCCAGCAUUUCAGGACAGUUGAGAUUACUUUGAUUCAAGCAUUUUGCUUGCAUGUAAACUGAACCAGCAGCCCUUGUCUUUUGUCAUCUGACGCGAGUCGAGCUGCUAGCUUCAAGCCUUGAACCAUCCAUUAGCAUAUAUCCUUUGCCUGGCUUGCACUCUAGAAAGCAUCAACGCAUCAUCAUGCACCUGCAAACCUUUGGACAUCUUUUCCUAGUACUUUCUAUGCCGUCAUUUAGCCUAACACCUCGUGUACAUGAAAGAUAAUUAGCCUGCCGAUUUGUUGAGGUUAAUCCGUGUGCUGUAGUAAGAGGAAUCCUCAAUUCCUUGCUGCCAAUUCAGGAGCAUCUCCCUUUACAGCCAUCAUUUCUCAUCUCAGCCCAAAUUCAUAUAUUCUGUUGGAGCUUGCAGCUCAAGUUUGGCACAUUUCCUUUGCCGCGCUGGGCCUCCGGCCGGCUCCAGGCUCCACCCUAUAAACCGCCCGGUCCACAAGAGCUCGCGGGAAUCUCACCCACCUGUGAAAGCGAGCACACGCAAACGCAACUACGCAAGCAAGCGCAUCAGUGUCCUGCGAUUUCUGUCGAUCGAGCUACGCGAAGCCGGCAAUGGAGGGAAGGCCGGCCAUGCUGGUGUGGGCGGUGGCGGCGUUCCUGCUGGUGGCGUGCGCGGCCGUCGUCGCCGGCGAUGACCAGCAGGGCGAUCCGGCGGCGGGGGCCCCGCCGGACACGAACCAGCUGUGCGUCAGCAAGUGUGGGACGUGCCCGACGGUGUGCACGUCGGCGCCGCCGACGAUCAUGCCGAUGACCGCGCCCCCGCCGCCGUCGCUGGCGCUGCUGCCGCUGUCCGCGCCGCCCCCGCCGCCGUACCUGGAGCUGGUGCUGCCGCCGCCGCCGCCGGGGGACGUGUCCGACGUGCUGCCUCCGCUCACGCCAUUGACGAGCCCGCCGGAGUCCCCGUGCUCGACACCGCCUUCGGAGCCUCCUCCGUCCUCGUCGUCGGAGCCUCCACCGUCACCACCGCCGCACAAGAGCAGCGGCGACGGUGGCAGCGGCGGGUCCUCCUCCUCCUCCUCCUCGUCGUCGUCUCCCCCGUCAGCCUCGCACUUCUCGUCGCCGCCGUCCCCGCCGUCGUCCUCCAACCCGUACUACUACCUGUACCUCUCCGGCGGCGCCAAGGCCCGCGGCGGCGUUCCGAGCGCUUGCACGGCGCUGGUCCUCGCCGCGCUCCUACCCCUCGCCGCCUUGAUCAAGUGACUGGAGACACGCUGUUACUAGCAAUCGUUCAGCUGCUCAGGCCGGCGUUAAGACUAGGCCAUGGCAUUACGCGCGCUUCUUUUUCUUCCUCCGUUUUGGGCUUUUGGCAUCCGAUUCGAUGAUGAUCUGCGGGCCUUCGCGGUGUCAGAUGCUUGCAUGCAGAUAGUAGUAUAGCUGUGCUUACAGUUUGUUGAUUGUAUUAACGUUGCUGUACGUAUACCUUAAUUAAUUUGUAAAGUGAACUCUAAUGAUGUCCAGUGAGUUUUCCCUUUGGCUUCGACGUGUUGCAUGUUGAUGGCUAAUGGCUUUAUGCCGGUGCAUGUGGGAAACUACUGUCACUUCAAUUUCUUCCUCUCAAAAAACUACUAUAACUUUCUUUCUUUCUUUCUUUUUUUUUAACGCUCACCCGACACCAACCUGUGUCUUUCCCGAAUUAAACUGGGUAGUGCGCAGCCCCAUCCUUGAUGUAAAUUGCUGAUUUUAUUCUCGUGAAUUGGCAACCUUGUUCAAAACCAAAUGCGUACCAUGUUACUACUAUAUUCACCAACCGAAGUGUAAUUGAUAAGCUUACUUAGCAAUUUUCUGGCCAGCAGUAUUUAGCACUCCUAUUUUUGGGCAGCUCGUUUUAGUAAUUUCCUUGCCAAUUAGCACAUUGACAGGUGGGUCCAUCUCCUGACAAUUGAAAGCACCAGAAAAAAGAUCCCCGAUACGAAGCGCAGUCUUGAGCUCCCGCCAAAUCGAUCUCCUCCGUCCAUAUAUACCAACGCCGAAGCAGGAGAGGAGCAUCGAUCCAUCUCGAUCGAUCACCGACGAUCGAGUUCGUUCGUCGUCGCGUGCGCAAGCACCUGAUCUCCUUUGUGCAAGUGCAACUAGGGACCGAAUCCGGCCGUCAACGACCACCAUGCUGCGGUCCACCGGCGACCGCGUCGUCAUCGUUGGCGGCGGCAUCGCCGGCGCCCUCCUCGCCAAGACGCUACAGAACCACGCCGACGUCGUCCUCAUCGACCCGUGAGCACGCACGCGCCAUUAUUGGAGCAUUCUUCUCUAAUUAAGAAAGCAUGGAUAAUGGAUUCCUCGAUCGUGUUCUUGAAUAAUCGAUCCAUGGCGGACGCAUGCAUUUGCAUUGCAUGCAGGAAGGAGUACUUCGAGAUCCCGUGGGCGAACCUGCGCGCCAAGGUGGACCCGGCGGCCGUGGAGCGCACCGUGAUCCCGCACGCUGACUACCUGACGCACGCCAAGGUCGUGACCGCCUUCGCCGUCGGCAUCGACGACUCCGUCGUACUCACCUCCAUCGGCCGUGCCGUGGCCUACGACUUCCUCGUCGUGGCCACGGGCCGCACCUGCAACCGGCCGCAGAAGCAGUCGGAGCGGCUGGAGAUGUUCCAUCGCGACCGGGAGCGGAUCGACGCCGCCGAGUCGGUGCUGAUCGUCGGCGGCGGGCCCAUCGGCGUGGAGCUGGCGGCGGAGAUCGUGAUGAAGAGCCCCGAGAAGCGCGUGACCCUCGUCCACGGCGGGCCCCGGCUGCUCAAGGUGAUGGGCGCCCGCGCGUCGGCCAAGGCGCUCGAGUGGCUACGGUCCAAGCACGUGACCGUGCUCCUGGACCAGACGGUCGACCUCGCCGGCACCACGCCGGACACGCGGGAGUUCACGACGUCCGCCAGCGAGACGGUGACCGCCGACUGCCACUUCGUGUGCACCGGCCGGCCCGUGGCGUCCGGGUGGCUGAGGGAGUCGUUCCUCAGGGACCACCUCGACGAGGAGGGCCACCUCAAGGUGGACGACCACCUCCGCGUCGGCGGGCUCAAGAACGUGUUCGCCGUCGGCGACAUCACCGACGUGCCUGAGGCGAAGCAGGGCCACCUGGCGCAGCGGCAGGCGAUGGUGGUGUCGCGGAACCUGCGGCUGCUGGUGAAGGGGGCGUGCAGGGACGAGAAGCUGCACCGGUACAAGCCGUGCCCCAGGGCCAACAUCACCGUCACGCUGGGCCGCCGCGACGCGCUGGCGGAGCUGCCCUUCAUGACGCUCAUCGGACACAUCCCCGGCGCCGUCAAGCCGAGGGACCUCUUCAUCACCAGGACGCGGAGGAUGAUGGGGCUCAAGAGCAAACCCUACGGCACCAUGCCGCGCGUCAUGUGAUGAUCGUGCGAAGACGGCGGAUGUAUAUGAUCCGCCGGCCCGGAGGACCGGCCGAGCCUCCCGUCCGGCGAGUGAGGCACCGAGAGCAGAUGGAGACUAGCUCAUCUCUGAAUUUUGCCACGACAAAGCUGACGAUGUACGCUUGGCGUUGUCACGUGCAUCCUUGUAUGGAUCACAUAUAUGGAAACAGGUACAAAUUGCUCGCUCAACUAGCAUUCUCCAUUGGAACUUGCUUUGGUGGUUCAUGGGUAGAUCUAAUCCACGAGCGCCGUGAAGUUGCGGAAGCCAUUGACCAGAAUAGCAACAACAUGAAGAUCCUCUCCACCUCUAAGGGCAAGUUCCCAAUAGUUUACUUGUCUAUUACAUUUGCCACAUCAUUUAACAGACACUCUGAAAGAAAACCUAGUUGACAAGUUUCUCUAAUGAGAAUAUGAGAUGCCUCCACGUGUAGAAGCUAGUAUUCUAUUGGGAUUAGCCUUAGGGCCCGUUUAGAAGCUUAUUCUAGCUUUGGCUUCACUUGUUUUGCGUAAAACAAGACACUGUGGUAUGAAUUCACUUUGCAAAAUGAGAUAAAAAUUAACUAGAAGUUGAGCGAAUCUAGUUUUUUUUUUGCCUUCCCCGGCUUUGGUUCCACCGGAGAGACCCUUAAAAGGAGCCCCACCCAAACGGCCCCUUAAUAUAUUGAUGUGGCACAUAGAGUAGAAGGCGCUCUUGCGGUGGAGUGAUGGACCGAAGAGUCUAUUAGUUGUGAAAUUCACAAACCAAGACUCAUAACCAAUUGACAACUAUGGUGCAGCCUCAUUUGGAUAUGCAGUGACAUAUACAUAUCUGUCAGCGCCAAGGGAACGGGAGUCCCCCGAGAAGGCGCUUACAAGUAGGGCCUGCCUGGAGAAAAGGGUUUUCCUCCUCAUGAAGCCCAAAUAAGGAGGUGGGCCAAGAAAUCCGAGGUCCUAGAAAGACAAGAGAAAUAUCGCACCUAUAUGGUGGGACCCAUGGAGGGCCCACACAGCGUGAGCAGGAUACACCUAGAGACCCCCCGGAAGGCCCCCAAGAAGGCUCACUUCGAGGUGAAGCAAACUGUGGCGUAUCCAAGCAUGAGACGUCACGACAGUUGAGGCAGGCUAUCAUCAGGCGUCCGUCCCCUUAAAAACAUCAUCAUUACGGUUAAUGGGAUGUGCCUGAGCGCCUCGGGGACUGACCGGCUCACUCGUCCUGUCCAACAGGCAGCGGGCGCCGCCCUUAUGUUAAGAGCGUUUGCCUGGCUCUCGGGUGCCCUCUGCCAGUGGGGUAGGCCCACACCGUGGCCCCGGGAAGCGGCAAAGGCCUCCCAGGAAGAAUCUCGAGAGCCAGAUUCAAUGUCCCCUACCCUAGGAUGGUGGGUCCGGAUUGAGAAGAGCAAUGAUUACCAGGGUAAAAUAGUAAAUGACCAGAUUGAUGUACAAAGGACUUGGUCAGGAUGCCCUAGCGCUGCGCGUGCCAAGGCGAGGAGCAUCAGGGAAGUGGACGGCAUGUCGGGAGAAACUGUAUCAAGGAGGGUAGCCAUUGGGCUGCCGCAUUCACACAUAAAGUAGAGGAAGGAUUGGAGCGCAAGGCUUGCCUUGGUGAGCUCUCCCAUUGGCCUGGCCUAUAAAAGGUCGGGGUUUGUACAAAAAGAACAAGGCAAUUUGUGCAUCUGGUGAGAGCUCAAAUUUGUGCAGACGUCCAGGAACACAGACGCGAGAUAUCCAUGAACCCUUUCUCUCCUCUCUUUUUCCAUAUGGUGAUUUGUGCUGUGACACUGAGCUAUUAAAUCUCGCUGGCUCUUCUCCUUGACGUGCACUGAGAAGGGGGGUGAGCAGUAUCUCCAAGCCGUUACCGUCAGGAAGCCUGCACGAGGGUGUAAAUAAGGAUUCUGGGCAGCGCAACUGCGCAACCGAUCGAUUGCGCAACCGCUCGAAUCGAUCGACUACGUUCUGCGUUGCCUCUUCUACGAUCUGCACUGCAUCGAGCAACCCUGCAUCCGAGUCUACAUGAGGACGGAGCGCUUGAUCUGUAAGUCCAUGGAUUGGAUCUAUUACAGUUUAAAUUGCACCAUGUGCAGGAAGGUUAUGUACUUAGAAGUUUUGGUUACAUCUGUUUUGCUUAUGCUGUUUUUACACACCGUUUACAUAAGUAUGUUGCAGGUUACGCAUGUCUGUUUAAAUAUAGAAUUUUGUUACAUAACAGUAACAAUGAGUUACGUAAUAUGGCUCAUAUUUAUAUCUGGUAGAUUUAAACGUAUAUUUCCAACAGUUGGGACCUGACAGGUCACAAGAUCUAUCCUUCUACCAAAGAAGGAGCCCUGAACAACAAUGGAUGAAUGGAGUGGGUUUUGGUCUGUCGCAACCGAGAAAUCCGACGAUUUUGAGGUUGCAACUACAUGCUCAUCAGAAGUUCAGAACAAGGUUGCAUGCGACCAUCUAGCAGUGCGCCAAAAGCUUCAGGUUUAGCCACUGGUGGCGGCUCAGCUGCAAGGUAGGCCCAAACGAAGGGUGCAAAUAGUUCAGACAUUAGGUAAGCUCAAUUAAUUAAUAUCUUUUGACUAUCCUACAAAUUAACUGCCAUAAGAUAAUAUUUUCUGAGUUGUGCUGUUCUUAAUUACAUCAGAGAUGUAAAUCCUGCGAAAAAGACAUCACUUUUACAAAAAAAAAGUUGAAUGGAGCGUCACACCAAUGCUAAUAAUGAAGAGUGGAGUUGAAGCAAGGAGAACUCCCAAUGGUAAAGUUGAUUUUCUUUUGACGAACUUCACCUUGGCCAGGGAUAGAUAAGCACGUUGGUCGUAUUGUGUGAUGCAUUGAUAUUGUUAGAUGAAUACGUCAGCCCUCUUGAAUGCUUGCUGGAUCUUUAUCUCUAUGUAGUACUUAACAUUGUAAAUCAUUCUUCCUUCAUUUUGUUGUACUCCCUCCUUUCAAAUUGCAAGUUAUUUCAGUUUUUUAGUUCAUAGAUAUUUGUAUGCAUCUAGACAUACACUAAUUUGGGACCUAGAAAGCCGAAACGAUCUACAAUUUGGGACGGAGGGAGUAGCACAGAUCGAGAGGCCAAAGCCUUGAGGAUUGAAAGAGGUGACAACCAAAAGGAAUUGUUAUUUUCCAGUUAGCUGCCACCGUCCGGGCCCCCUCUUCCCCACCCUCGUGCCCUCACCGCCGCCCGAGCGCGCCAGCGGAAGCCCGUGCGGGCCCGAUGAAGGCGGCGGCAGGGCUCUUCUCUUCGCCCAAGAUGCCGCCCCCCAUUCCUAUGGCGGCGGUGGCCUACGAUGGCGUUGUAGAUCCAGAUCUGCCUCGAUUGUCUCCAGCAUUGGCAGUCCUCGCGUUGCGUCCCUCGCAUGCCCCGUGGUGCCCUCAGGGGGCGGCUCUGGUGGAACCCAAGCCGUCGCUGGCCGGGGCCCCUCUCCCCCACCCUUGUGCCCUCACCGCCGCCUGAGAGCACCAGCGAAACGGGCACGAUGAAGGCGACGGUAGGGCUCUUCUCUCCGCCCGAGAGGCCAUCCCAUCCCAUGGCGGCGGCAGCGGUGGCCGGCCAUGGCACCGUAGAUCUGGCUCUGCCUUGGCCGCCUCCAGUGUCCCCGCGAGCAGAUCUAUCCGACCGUGGUCAUUGGUGUUCUGGAGGACGGCGGUGGUUUACUAGCAUCGGGGGUGGUGGUGUCAGUCGGAUUUGGGCGCCAUGGCUGCUGGUCAGCUUCAUCCUAUGGCAGUGACACUUCCUCACCCUUCUCCGAGCAGUUCUCUUGCUUAUGGUGGACCUCGUGCUUGGGCUCGUCGUCUCCGCCCUAGCGGCUGGAUCCUCACAAGAGGCCAGCGCUCCUCUAGCCCUGGCCUCCUGUCGGCGAGUGAGGGGCAACAGUUGGCAGCCUUUGCAUCUUCGAUGCCUCUUGGUGGUGUAAGCUCCACUAUGCGGGGCUGCCCAACAGAUUUGGCCACAAGAACGUCAUAGCUUUCUUGUUGGGGUGAUGAUGUGGUCGUGGAGGAGCUACGGGCGAAAGCUUUACCCGAUUGGUAUCGGUAUAAGCAACGACGGCAUCGCUUGGGCAUUGUUUCCCUUUGUUUAGGCGUUUGUUGUGAUGCUCUCUGUAAGGUCAAUGAUCUUCUAGGUGAAAACUUUACUCCGGCUUGCCGAAUGGGUGGUGACGGUGUCUUCGACGCCAUGUCCUUCUUGGAGGCGUCGCCUUGGAAGUACUUUGGCCUGACCUUUCAUUACCUAUGACGGAGUCUGUUGUGCGAGCGAUAAAAGAUAAGUAUUCCAAUUCCGGCAUCAUGUUUCUAAGCAGAUGAAAGAUGUGAUGGCUUGGCGAUGCAUAAAGACACACAAGGACUAUGCAUGGAUGAAGAAAAAGAAUGAAACUUAGUCUUCUAAUUAUUUUCUUUGUCUUCGAGGUUUUUUUUAUGUUUUGAGCUCCUCAUUGUUGAGGACUAGAGUUUAAGAACUCUUUAUAACCUUUGGUUGUAUAUGUCCACCAUUUGAAUAUAGUAGGCUAGAUUUUAUCCUUAAUCUAAAAAUCAAAGUUGACUAAAUUUUGUUGUGAUGUACUCAUGAGUUCUGAAAACCCUGUGAUCAUUAACAAGUGAAUCUGCUUUAUUUUUUUUAGUUUUGAUUUGUGCAAACACAAACAACAUUUUUAACUAGCCAAAAGAAUCUAGAUGCUAAACAAACAAGAGUCUAUAAAAGAGGUAUCACCGAUUCAGCAUCGAAGAUGCAUAAUUUUCCUUGUUCUAUCCACUGCGACAUCACAGAUCUUUCCUCGCGGACUCAAUAUCAACUCGGUCACCAUCACAGAGAGACAGAAUAUUUUCAUAGAGGGGGAUAUGAUUGAUUGGACAAUUUCAAAAAGUUUAGGAAAAUAAUAUAAGCUCAAAUUUCGCCUAGAGGAUCAAACUGAAUUGCAUGGAGUAACAAAAUGGAUCUUUUCAUUCGACAAAAAAAAAUAUACUGAUCUCUAUUCCCAAAUUAUAACUCAGAGCACGAACUCGAUGGUGUCGCCUUUGGUCAACAUGGAAAACUUACUCUUGUGAAUGACCACCCGGAGCUCCGUUGGCCCUACUACAUCGGCACUGCCAUUGUCGGCCUGCUCGUCACUGCCAUUGCCGGCCUUCUCGUCGCUCCCAUCGCUGCCACGGUGAAUCACCUCCACGCCGGUGAACAAAGCGAACCUCUUGUCGGUUUCUUCAUGGAGACACUUGCUGCAGGCUGACCUUCUGGUCUCGAAGAACUGGGUGACGCAGAACUUGCCGGAGCCGAGGCUGACGAUCCGGGGCUCGGGCACCACGACCUUGUGCCACCCCCACGGCGGCUCUAGAUUCCGGCAGUCGUCGCGACCAUACCGCAGCAGCGAACGUCUGUCCACGUCAGCGAAGAGGUUGCCGGUGGCGUACAGGCUGUUGUUGUCCUCCUCACGGCAUUGUUUCACGAAGCCAAGCCAGAGGCCGAGCUCCCGGUCGUGCUCGAUCUUGCCGGCGAACGGCAGGGCCCAGCCGCCGGCCUUGCUCCACGCGCGGCUCGCCGUGUCGAAGCAGUGUGUCCCGCGGCCUUCCGUGGACACGCAGAUCACGUCGGAGGCGUCGCCGGCCUGCGCGUAGGAGACGAUCUCCAUGGUGCCCUUGUAGCCGGCGUCUUCAGCGAAGGGCGGCCGCGGGAGCUCGUCGAGGUGCCAGCGCUUAUCGUAGUCCGAGCCGCGGCCGCGCGGCGUGCGGUGGACCAUGGCCUGGAACUUGAGCCAGUUCGUGGCGUCGUCUCCCUCGGGGUCUCGAUCAAUGACGUACACGCCUUCGUCGGGUUCUCCGUUGUCACCGCCGGCGCCGGCAGCAACGGGGAAGUAGGCGCGCCGCCAGGGCCACCGCUUGCGCUCGGGGAAGCCGGCCAUGGUAACGACGCGGCGCUUGUCGGCGUCGUACAGUGUUAGGAAUAAACCCGCCACGGCGUGUUCAUGGUGGCGUGCGAGUGUGCCGUGCCAUGGUGUGUUCGUGGUGGCGCGUCUGAGUCAGGUCGCGUGCGUGCGUUGCAGUUUGUUUGAGUCUGGUUAGAUCCAUAGGUUCAGGUUCAGCUGCAUGUCGUGUACAUGCGUGUGUGUGGGUAGUUACGUAGCAAUCACUAGUUUGUUAGUGGACGGAGUGGGUCGUGUACGCGGGUGCCGAUCUGCAUGAAGAUGGCCACGUUGUCCGGGAGAGCGAAUGGCUCACGACGACGUUGUGCAUGUCAUGCGGAUCAUGGCAGGAAGGCCGGACGUGGAGGAGUGCUCCUGGCAAGUCCGUGGCCUAUUUGUAGCCCCUGCGCCCCUCUGUUCAUUUUGCCGAGUCCAGUGAAAUACAAGUGCCGAGAUACCGGAGCUAUCGGCUCCACGGCGUUCGUCGCCGGCAGCAAGAAAAGCUAGUGUGCAUCCCUUGCAUUUUUGUUGCGAGCGUGAGAUAGAGAGCUAGCCAUCGUUUCGUUCCUGGUGGUGGCCAACAUACAGGAAGGCGCCGCGCGAGUUGCAGUCCACGAACACCGUCCUGCCCUCCGACAGGGCUGCGCAGUCCAGCCUGCUCCAGAGGGAGCCGUACUCCGGGUGCGGCGUCGGCUCGAAGCUCAGCCUCGGCGACGGCACCAGCAUCUCCAUCAGCUUCUCCAGCGACUCCUGCCCGGUCGUCCUGCCAUCUAGGACGGCCGGAUCAUCCUUCUCCGCGGCGAAGAGGAUCUCCGAAUCCUUGGCGGCCGCUGCGUCCUCCGCCGCCUUCGCCGUUGGAUAGAACAGGCUGUUCUGGCGCGAGAGGAGGUCGAGUCGGUGCAGCGAGUGCACGCCGGUGAACUUGUUCUUCAAAACCAGAUUCAGAACCCGCCGCCGGUGGCUCAUCGUCGAACGGUGGGAAUCGAUGGACACGGAGAGGGCAGGCUAGGGCAUGCAGCGGAGACGCCGAUGGGGCGCGGCGCAGGCGCCGCUGUUCCUAAAAAACUGGGUUUUUUUUCCAGGCUGCAGCCCAUGGGCCCUACUCAAAAGAUGUCUAAUAUAUAUUCCUCGAGGAAAUUCAAAAAUCAAAAGUUUAUUUACAGCUCAAGACACAAGAUAAAAGGGAUGAUUUUAGUGGCCAGAUGCAUUUUGUAAUACAGUUAACAGUUUUUUCAUGCUCUCAACACAAACAUCCUGCUCCGCCUAUGAGUGCUUGUAGCCCUUCUACGAGAAUUUUCAGUGUUGGUCACCGUGUGGUAACACUACAGUUUUUUCAUGAUCGAGGAUUUGUCUUAUACCACCUCUAACAAAAGAGAUACAAAUAUUUUCCAGGUUCAAAAUAUAUAAAAGAUCAAUAAUACUUAUGAUAUCAAAUGAGCAUUAUUAUAUAUAUCAUUAUGAAAUAUAUUUUUCUAUUUUAUUUUUUAAUGGGUUAGAUAUUACACUACGGGAUCCAGGCCCCUCGGCAAAGCCCAAAAACACUCGGCAAACGACACUCGGCGUAGGUUUUAAUGGCAAAAAGCAGUUUGCCGAGUGUCAACCCACCCUCCCUCGCCGGAUCCGGCACCCCCUCGCCGGAUCCGCCCCCCUCCCUGGAUUCGGCGCCGUCUCGCCGGAUCUGGCACCCUCUCCCCGAAUCCGGCGCCCUCUCCCCGGAUCCGGCAGCGGCGGGCUUGGUGGUGGCGGUGGCGGCAGCAUGGGCAGUGGUGGGAUGGGCGGUGGUGCCGGAGGAGGAUUCGGUGGUGGAGCAGGAGGUGGCGUUGGCGGAGGAGGUGGCCUUAGUGGUGGUGGCGGCGGCGGCAUGGGAGGUGGAGCAGGCGGAGGAGGCAGGCUUGGUGCUGGUGGUGGUGUUGCUGCUGGAGCAGGAGGUGGCCUUGGUGGUCGCGGUGGCAGCAGAGGAGGAGGUGGUGGUGGCGGCGGAGUAGGAGCUGGUGCUUGUUUUUUUAUUUUUUUUUCAAAAAAUGUUUGCUGAGUGUUUUUUGGGAGGUGGAGGGAGGGAAGGGGAGGGAGAGGGGCGGUGCCGGGAAGAAGAAGGGGAGGGGGAGGGGCGGCGCCGGGAAAGAAGAAGAGGAGGGGGAGGGGGAGGGGCGCCGGUAGGGAAGAAGAAGGGGAGGGGAGGGGCGCCAGCGGGGGCCAGCCGCCGGUGGCGGCGGCAGGGAGGGGAGGGGCGCUGGGGCGGGUGGGGAGGGGCGCUGGGGAGUUCAGGUGGGGAGGGGCGCUCAGGGAGUUUAUUAGUACGUGCGUGCGUGGGCUUUGCCGAGUGCCCUGGAUCUGGCACCAGGCAAACCAGUGUUUACCGAGUGCUAGAUCGGGGGCACUCGGCAAAUCACUUGUUUGCCGAGUGUUUUUAUAAAAACACUUAGUAAAUCACUUGGUUGCCGAGUGUUUUUAUUUUGCCGAGUGGUUUUCGGAAAACACUUGGCAAAGAGCUAUUUGCCGAGUGCCCGAGAAAUACACUCAGCAAAUAUAAAAACACCCGGCAAACUUAAAGAUUCCGGUAGUGUUAAUACUCUUCUAGUAUUCUCCGUAAAUUUGGUCAAAGCGUGAACUUAGGAGAAACUUAGAAGUCCUUAUAUAUUUUUAUGGAAGGAGUACGCUAACUUUGCUUGAUAUUUUCAUAUGGACCUUAAUUAACUAUCCUAUACUGUUGUGGUACCUUAAACCUUAUUAAACGAUGGCAAGGAGCAAAAAUUGCGCUACUAGCAAUUUUGUUGUUUGUUGUCGAGAAGAUAAUCUCUUCUAGAGCAAUGGAAGGAUCGAGCAAACAAAAGACUUCCACGAUUGAAUGGAUCUGUGAGGAACGGCAGCAGUAAGUGGUGUUUCCUUUUUGCCACAUGCAUGCAAUCUAAGCUAUGUUACCGUAUGCAGAGUUGCUGAUUUUGAUUGCACUGACCGGUUCAAAGAGGCCAUGCAGUGACAUGUAGAUGAUGAAGUGUUUCUUUUUGUUUCUGUUUAUAUUACUGUUUGGAUAAAAAUGAGUAUAUUAACUUCAAAAUUCCCAUGUUAUACUUCUUUGUCCACGCGGGAAUCAGCUUCAUGCUUCAAUCUCAUUGAUGAUUUUUAUGACUAUAUAUGUCGUCUACCUAAGCUAAGAUAUUUCUGCGAAGCUGAUUGUUAUUGCUAUCAUUCUUGAGAAGGUCUACCCUGCAUUUUUUAACCCCUCAGGCAUCCUCAUGAAGCAAAAAGUUCGAAAGGGUGUUAUGAAACCCAUUUUUCCUUCAUCUUCUUUUUUAUUCUAAUUUGGUGGUAACUCGAGAAUAAGUCCAACAAUGACAAUAUUCUUGAGAAGGUCUACCCUGCAUUUUUUAACCCCUCAGGCAUCCUCACGAAGCAAAAAGUUCGAAAGGGUGUUAUGAAACCCGUUUUUCUUUCAUCUUCUUUUUUAUUCUAAUUUGGUGGUAACUCGAGAAUAAGUCCAACAAUGACAACAUUUCGCUGUUAGCGGCGUCGUCCACCACUUUGUCCACUCUUUCCAAAGGAUAGUCAUCUUUUGGGCAGGCCUUGUUUAGGUCAGUAAAGUCUAUGCACAUUCUCCACUUGCCAUUCUUCUUUUUGAAUGGUACGGUGUUAGCUAGCCAUUCUGGGUAGAUGAUCAAGCGUAUGAUGUUGUCCUUAAGGAGUCUUUCAACCUCGGAUUUCACGGCUUGGGCUUUUUCUUCAGACAUUUUCUGAGUUUUUGCUUGUUUGGCUUUAUGCCCGGCUUUAUUUCGAGCCCGUGUUCGAUUAUAUCUCUGUCGACCCCUUGGAGGUCACUAGCGGACCAGGCGAAGAUAUCUUUAUUUUUUUAGGAACUCAAUUAAUUCUUUCUCCUACUCGGACUCAAGGUUAGCUCCUAUUGUGACAUAUCUAUCCAUGAUAUAGCCAUCCAAGAGAACUCUCUUUGUUUCACCAUCCGCGCUUAUCUUCACCUUUUCUUUGUCCCUUUUGGGCUCAUCAUAUGACUUUUUUCUCUUCUUGUUUCUCAACCUUGUUGGGAGUCGUUAGGUGGUGGACAUUCUUUUGCCCUAGGGUUACGCCUUUUUCUAUAUUCCUGGUGGUUUGUUGGUCGCCAUAGAUCAUGAUGGCUCCUUUCAAGGCUGGGAUUUUCAUACAUAAGAACAGUUGCCUGAUUGCUACAUUGAAUCUGUUGAUGAACCCUCUCCCGAGGAUAGCAAAGUAGGGGUAGUACAUUUCGACAACAUCAAAUGUUAUGCGUUCCGUUCUUGUGUUGUCCAGAUUUCCAAAGGAGACGAGGAACGUGAUUUUUCCCAAAGCUUUAACUGGCCUUCCCCAAAGCCAAGCAGUGAGACUUCUGCCGGCUCGAGCAAGAGAGGGUCAAUUUUCAUAUCUCUAAAGGUUCUUGCAAAGAUAAUGUCCACGGAAUUUCCGUUGUCCACUAGAACCUUUCCUAUUUUCCAGCUAGCGAUAAUAGCCUCGAUCACCAUCGCAUCAUUAUGCGAGGCUGUUUUAAAUUUGAAGUCCUCUUAUGUGAAAGAGAUGGGCAUGUGUGCCCACUCUAGCUUGGCUGAAGAACCAUCAGGUAUAAUCAUGUUCACCUGCUUGAAAGAAUCUUUCUUUUGCCUUUUAUUUUUGAACUCGAGGGAAGACCCUCCAGCGAUUGGCAUUAUCAUGCCAUAGGUUGGUAAAGCAUUUGAGCUAUCCUCGUGAUACUCUUACUGUGAGGAUCCCCCUGAGAUUGGCAUUAUCAUGCCGUAAGUGGGUAAGACUUUGGGAUUAUUGUUUUGUGGGUUGUUUGGCUCAGCUUUUGGAAUUUCGUUGGGUAGAUUUGGUGGGGGUAAUGGUAUCUCGUGGAGAUGCUGGGAAGGUGCGAAGCUUUUAGUCUAUGAGGCUUGCUGAGUUUGGAGGCGGAACUGUGGUGAAUGCUGCCACAUCAUGGUAGGUUGAAAGCUUGCGAGGUUUGGGUUCGGGUAGUAUGGUGGUUGCGGCCAAAAGGUGGUGUGGUGGAUGGUUUUGGGUGCUGUAGCCGCCUUUUUUCUCUUUAGCCAUUCUCUCGAGGGUCUUUUUAGUUUCUGGACAAAAGUCCGUUGCAUGAUCAAGCUGUUUACCAUGGAAGGUAUAGUAAAUAGUCUCUGUUGGUUACUUUGGUUACUUGGCCUCGGAGGACCUCUUCCUCAGCCUCUUCCCCUUUUGACGUAGCCGCCCCUCUGGCCGCUGCCAAAGUUUGGUUGGUGUUGGUGGUUUUGAUUUUGGUUUUGGUUUGGGUUCUGUUGCGAGGGUUGAUUACCCUCAAUUGACAGUACUUGUUGAGAUGGGUAUGAGUUGUGUUGUUGCUGGUGGUUGUAACACGAGGUUUGCUAGUUUUGGUCUUUUUCAGCUUGCCUCUGGUGGUUUCUCUCCACCACUCUCCUCCUGUGGUCUUCAUCCGAUCUACAAUAUUUGUCUAGCUCCGCGAACAAAGCUUCCAUUAUUUUUGGCUUUUUUCUUGAUAGCUUCGAGGCUGGGCCUAGGUUGAGCCCCUUGAUGCAGGCUGCUAUGGCCACGCUAUCCUCCACAUCUAGGGUUUGUGACUUGAGCUUGACAAAUCUUUUCACAUAGCUUGUUAGCGGCUCUUUAUUUUUCUUCACACAGUUGAAUAGAUCUCCUUCAUCAGUCACAGCUCUGUGAAAGCCUUGGAAGUUUUGGACUAGCUUGGUUUUGAGAUCUAUCCAGCUGUAUAUGGAUUGUGGUUGAAGCAGAGAGUACAUAUUCAAUGCUGCACCCUCGCAUGCUAUGAUGAAUGAUUUAGCUAGCACCACAUCAUCUCCUCCGGCCGAGGCUAUGGCUGUCUCGUAGCUCAUGAGGAACUGGCGAGAAGCUAUUUGCUCGUUGAACUAUGGCAACGUGACUGCCUUGUAAGUUGCAGGCCAUGGGGCUGUUUGCAAGCCCAAGGACAGUGGGGAGCUUUUGUCAACUAUUGUGCAGGCGCUUGUUAUCACUAGGGUGUUGUGCCCAACGAACAUGGGAUUUGGGUAUAUUAUGGGUGUGUCAUUGGUGAUCAACCCCAGGAGUGGCGGUUGUGGUGGUGGUUGUGGUGUGUUGUGCAAGUAUUGCAACUCAUUUAGCUCUUGUUGCAGUUCUGCUAGUUACCUCUUAGCCUCGUUUAGCUUUGCUAGCUUGUUUGCUACUUGAGUGAAUUUUUCUUUUUCCUUCUUCAAUGCUUCGAGCUGUUUGAGCGCAGAGGCCAGUUCCUCUUCUGUUUCUUCGAGGGUAUCAUUAUGUGAAUUUGUUUGUGGUUGUACUUGGCUCGAGGUUUCCGCCUCACUUCUCCUUUUCUCACUUCUUGUUCUCAGGUUGGCUUCGAUUCUUUUUAGUUUUUCUAUUUUAUCAGUGUUGCUUUGCUCGACUUGGACGAGUUGCCUUUCCUACCCUACCUCGACCUCGGUGGUCUUGCUUUUUUUCUAGGGUAGCAUCGUGGGUUUCUUGUUGGCUCAGAACACAGUGGGCGCCAAUGUUGGGAAACAGAUCGGGAAGAAACUCGAACGCAACAAUGUUAAGGAAGCAAUCAUGAUUCAAUUCUGAGAAAUGAACAUCCAUUUACAUCGAGGUAGGGCUCCCCUUUUAUAGUGUCUCGAAAGACACUUUACAUUUCAUGAAUACCCUUUCUCAACUAUUACAUUCUCGGAAUAUGCUAUACAUAAAGGUCUUUUGGAGAUAACUUGUGCGACUUGGUUUCCUCUACCGAGUCACGCUUCUCACGCCUUUGGGCAAUCCCGUAAAUCACGCUCUCAGGCAAUCCCGCAAACCACGCCUUCACAUUUCCAACGCCAGCAUGCAGUCAUGCUUUACACGCCUUUACGCCUCCAGCCUCGUGGUGGUAGUCUUCUUAACCUCGUGCUUGAAAUCAUCUUGGCCUUGCACUCGAAGUCAUCUUAGCCUCGUGCCGGAAAGAUGUCCAACCUUGUGCUUUGAGCCUUGGCGUGCUCAUACCAACGACCCUGAGUAAAACAUAGAGAAAAACUCAUCGCCUGAGGUUAGGUUCGGCCGCUCGAGGGUGAGCUUCGUUAUAGUCUAGUCAUCAGUAAUUAUUUCUUAGCUUUGAGACCAAAUUUACAGAGGUGCUGUGAGGCUAGCACGAUUUUCACACCAGAUUGGCCCCACGAGAUUAGGAACCUUCGCUCGAGGUUGGUGAUCUUGACCUCGAAGGUGACUGUCUUUUUGGGCAAUCCCCAACAGAAGGGAUGCCCAACUUGCUUGAGCUUGAUCCAUGCAGAAUGAACUUGUCUCAUGGCUGGCGAUGCAAACAGGUUGUCUCGUGCUCACGCUUGUUGGCGCCAUGCAUUGGAUUGGAUGAUCUACAUCGUUUGCAACUCUACAUGCAUGGUCUCGCCAUCGCCAUCGGAAAGAGCAAAUUGAUGGACAAGGCUGUAAGGGUGAGCCUAGUGAGAUCAGUCCUCACAUCAAUACCCAUAUACUUUCUCACUGUGUUCUCCUUGAAAAAUGGGCUCUAAAAAAGAUAGAUAGAUUAAGAAGAAGCUUCUUAUGGAAGGGAUCUAAAAAUGCUCAUGGGGAACACUACCUGGUCAAGUGGAAGAAAGUCUUGCUGCCCAAGAACUUGGGUGGACUGGGAAUCCUGGACCUUGAGCUCUUUAGCAGGGUUUUGAGAUUGAGAUGGUUAUGGUAUGAAUGGAGUGAUCCUGACAGGCCUUGGGUUGGAACUCCAACGCCAUGUGACAGUAUAGACCGGCAAUUGUUCAGAGCUAGCACAAUUGUAAAUGUGGGUAAUGGAACACAAGCCAAGUUGUGGCAAUGCAGUUGGCUGUAUGGCAAAGCUCCAAUGGACAUAGCUCCAAACCUUUACAAACUUGCUUGGAGAAAGCAAAGGAUAGUGCAGGAAGAAUUAACAAACCAUAAUUGGACAAGGAGGCUAUGGCACAUGGACUCUAUUGAAGAAAUGGCCGAGUUUGUGGCUUUGUGGGAUAUGGUGCAAAAUUUCUAGUUAAAUGGACAGGAGGAUAGUAUACAGUGGCGUUGGACAUCAAAUGGUUCAUACAAUUCAAAAUCAGCGUAUACCGCACAGCUACAAGGAACUUUCUCAACUUUAUAAGGUAGUAAUAUCUGGAGAGCUCAUGCCGAAGGAAAACAAAAAUUCUUGCUUGGCUCCUUGUCCAAAGGAAGAUCCUCACAGCUUAUGUUCAAAAAUUGAUGGCAAGAAACUGGCCAUGUUCAAAAUUGUGUGCAUUAUGUGAUCAAGUACCCGAAACUGCAUCUCAUAUCUGCUUGUAGUGCUGUUAUGCAAAGGAAAUCUGGUUUCUUGUUUCCAAUUGGGUGGGUUCUUGUGCAGAUGUACUCACAGGCACUAACGGUAAUAUUCAGGAAUGGUGGAGCAUAACUUUGGCGCCACUGAAUGCAAAGCAACGAAGAUCAGUCGCAACAAUUCUGAUGUACGCAACGUGGAACAUUUGGAAGGAAAGAAAUCGAAGGAUUUUCGACAACAAAACGCUUUGGCCUGAUCAAGUUUUCAGGCUAAUUCAAAAUGACAUUCUAAUACGAAGAAGGGCGUGUGGCACUCCUUUGCUUCAAGAGGAACUUCUUGUAUCUUAAUGUCUUCAUGUGUUCUUUCAUUUCAGUGGUGCAUGAGAGCAAACUUUUAUUCUGUAAUAGCAUUGUAACUCUAAUGUCGAACUUCUAACUCUCUUAAAAGAAAGAGCAACAGUGAAGCUGAUGUCUUGCUUGUGUCUUCUUAGCUAGUAUGAAUGUGAUAUAAAGAAAGCUAGGGAAGAGAACUGGUCGGUCGUUACUUGCUCCUAACCACCGGGCACGAUCGAGAUAGAUGCAGGCAAAGCCAUUCACGGAUCAAAGUGAUUGAUGCUGGAUUGCGUUUUCGGUUACAAACGGUAUCAUGAUAAUAUUCCUCCUUUCAGUAACAAACGGUAGUAGGUAGGAGUACUUCAGAAACGGCAGUGAUAAUUAAUUGCUACGUAGUUUCAUAAGAGUGUUUUUUUUAAAAAAAUUUCUUUCUUUUCGGUGCAACACUAUUUGUGCCAUAUAUUGACCCUCUGAUCCCGACCAAACUGAAGAGGCUCAAUGGCAAAAUGACCUCUACUACUUAACUUUGCCGUUUAGAAAUGCUUCACGCAUUGCUUGUAACCUGAGCCGCAACUUGUCCAGCGGUGGCAGGUGAUCCUUCACCACCGGCGAGCUCAAGAAAUUCCCCAUCCACGCAGACAGGGAAGGGAGCUUCUCCUCUGUUAUCAUCUUGACGCCGGUGAUCUCCUCAUAUAUCGGAAUCACAUACGACAGCGGGCCAAGUGAUAAGUCCACGAAGCCGAUCUUCUCGCCAGCGAAGAAUCGCUUCCCAUCAAGCUCCUUCUCCAGAACCAGCAGGUGGUCUAUGGCAGCUCCGUGUGCAUCCUCCUGUUCUUGGCCUUGCGUGGUGAACCACUUCCAAAUCGGUGGCGAGAGCUAAAAGAAUAUACAAUUACAUGCUUGUUUUAUGUUCUUCUCAAACUAUAUGAUGUAUGGAUGAAUGACUGCAAUUGAAGGUUGGAAUCAAAAGUUGAUCUAGGUUUCAUACCAUUGAAUCAUUGAUUACGCCAAACGAGCAAAGCAUAACGAAAUGUCGUCUGGGCUGCAUCUCUGGCGAGAACCUGCUCCGCAGCGUGGGUUUGGCGGCCAGGACAAACUCCACGUGCUCCGGGGAGACCCUCCUCAUCACCUUCUUCUUCGUCGUCUUCUUCACCGUCGCAGUCGCAGCUGCCUUCUCCUCCUCCUCCUCCGCGAUCACCGGCGUCUGAAUGAGUUCACAUAACGUCCCUGUCUGACAUAACGUCACCAAAGCUGACUAAACCGCGAUUACCGGUGACUAGCAGUAUGUCGUUGCACAUUGCAGCCGCCAAAGCUGACUAAACAUUGAAACUAUUCAGUCUGCAUAACGUCCCUGCCUCAUCAAACAGGAUUUCUUCUCUCUUUAUUAAUUGGUGGUGGUGACUAGUAGUAUGUCGUUGCACAUUGCAGCACCAGGUGCUAUGUACUGACACAUCCCAUGAGUGUUCAACGGCUUCUAAUUAGAGAAAGAACGUUGCUUGAUCCCACACGCGCUUCUGAGAAAUUGGUGUUGAUAUUUGGCAUUCUCAACGUUGGGCUGCAAAAUUCGCCAUUUUUUUGGGAAACUGCCACCGCCAAGAUCGAAUCAGAUAUAGAAAUAGAAUAAUACAAGAUGUCCUCUGUUCUUUCAGGAACAAUGGUCAAAUCGAUCAGGGCUUGGAUUGAUUCACUGCUAUUGCUAGCAACUACUGUACUAUUCCUUUGGAGCCGAAGGAGUGCGGGAGCCCCCACGGACCAGCAGCAGCUCGGGAGUUGUCGUAGUUGCAGGACAAGGAGUGGAUCGCCGUGGAAUGGUACAAGGUGACGCUGCGGAGGCGAGGAGCGUUGGACCCACGCAUGUAACAUGGCUGCCCCACGCUGCCUGAUCACGCCCCGAGGCUGCAUCCAUCCAUCGUCCAUAAUUCAUACUAGUAGCAGUUAGUAGUAAAAAGUUAAAACUAAACAAGUUUGUUUAUCAUAGGCACAGGAAGUAUGCAUGAUUAUAUUAAAAGGAUGUACCGACCGAAGUAUGAUUAUUUGUGUGGUAUCUCUGCUGGGCCUUGGGAGUAGCACACUGCUAUUUUCUCGGCCUUCAACCCAUGGCAAUGGGAUGUAGGAGGUAUGCUUUGACUGAAUCAUCAUAUCCGAGCUUUCAUCAUCACCAACAAGGCUCGCCGGAACAACGGGCUGCCACCCUUCAACCUGCGCUACCCUUCCAUCCCUCCCUCGCCCUCGUCCCAAUCCCAAAACAUUGUUCGCACCCCAAAGCUCCUGAAAUUAAUAUUAUUAAUCACCUCCUCUUUCUUUUACAUACUCAAACACAUGAUGAACUGGUACGAUGUUCUAUAUAUGAAGCAGGGAAGCAGAGAGCACAACUACUGAUGGAUCGACAGCGAUCGAUCAGCAACAAGCAUCAGUUACACAUCACUGGAGGGUAUGUGCAUAUAUGUAUGGAUCACGAACCUUUGCGAGGUAGGCGAGGGCUCCUCUGAUGCUGAAGCUGACGCUGGCGCUGUCCGGGUUCCUCUCGAGCGCCCGCCCCAGCUGGAUGCUGAUGAGGAGAGCGCCGGCACGAUGAUGAGCAGCACGGCAGCCCCCGGGGAGCUUGAGCUUGUUUGCCAUUUCUAUUCCACUUUCUUCUGUUGGAUCCUGUCGACAGAUCGAUCUCCAACUCCCUCCAAUAACCAACUGAUACUACAGAACCGCAGAAUCAAAGUUGCUGGCAAUUCUUGUCUAGUGUCACACCUUGAUUUCAGGAUGUGUGGUUAGAAAGAACAAGUAAACAAUAUUUUUCUCAUAGUUUUAAAAAAAUUCCAACAUUUAUUUUCUUGACAGGAAAUUUAGUAUAGAAAAAUAAUUGGUUGUUUUUUUUUAAAUUAAACAAGGUUGUUCUGUGUGUAUUGCAUUCAUGCCGAUGCAUCUUGGUAUUUUUUGAGUGAAAAAAGUUUUAAAAUGCGUUGAGUCGAUGAGCAGGUUCUUUUGAUGAUUUUCCAACUUUUUCUGUAAUUUAUUCUCAUUUUUUAGAGCUAAAUCUAUUUAUCAGAGGGCUCUAGUUUCUUUUUCACAAGCUCCAAGUAUUUUAUUUGGACUUCUCGUGUCCCAAAACUAUCUCUAAGAUUUUUCAUGAAAUUUUUAGGAUUUUCAGAGUAUUUUUUCUGGUUUAAAUGGCUUAUCAUUGGUUCUCUUGAUUUUUCUUUGCAUGGGAAAUUAUUUCUGGAAGUAAAAAACCUAUCUUAUCUUUUUGGGCUGAGCUCGUGGGCUCAACCCGCUCUAGGCCGUCAGCUGCUAGCCCAAUCUCCAGCUCAACCGAGGCCCACCUAGGCCUGGCCAACAACAGCUUUGGCAUGCACAAUCGCGCCGCUAGCUUGGGGAGGAGAAGGGGAGGAGGGAAGGGAGGGGCAGGGGGAGGAGCAGCGCGGUCCUCGCUGCUCGCCGACGCUAGCGAGGCGAAGGCUGGUUGCUGUGGGGGACAGGUGAAGGAAGAUAAUGGGCGCAGAGGUGGAGGAAGAUGAGGGGGUGUGCGGCUGUUUUUUUUUAAUUCGCGUGAUGGUUGAUGGGAUAAGUAUGGGUGGGGAUUGGGGAGGGCUCUCGACCGAUCGCUAAUGGGAGAGCCCUCUCCGCCCAGUCGCCUCCAAAAAUUAAAUUAUCCGAAAUUUUCAAAGUUUGCUAUAUAUAUAUAUUUUGUCACACAUAAUGAGUGCUACCGAGUAAUAUCUAGAAAUCUCAGAUUUGUUGGCUUUCGACCAGACGAGCCCUGCAUCUCCUCCGUCCCACGUGAGCAGAGCGCUACCGCCGCCGUCGGGAUCUCCUCGCUUCGGCCUCCUCCGCCCCUACUAGCCUCAUAUCUAAGCUCCUCGCCGCACACCCUCUCCAUCCAUCCCAACUACGGAUUCCCAAGCAUAGCGUGUAGGGGAUCAGGGAGGAAAUCUACAGGUUUCAUGUGAGAGCGCAGGGAGCAGGCUCGCUAUGGCCGCUGGCAAUAGCCGCGGCCACGCGUCGCCCCUCCGCCCCAGACACCUUCUCCCUAAUUUCCUCCCCACCAGCAGUUGUCGUCCAUUCGCCGGAGGCACUGUGCUGCACUGCCACACCCGCUCAGGAGCUCCGUCGCCCGUCCUCACUCCGCACAAGCCAUGAGGUCCCCUCCCCUACAGUCGACGCUGGGCUUCUCCUCCCAUCAAGUUGCGACCGGCAGCCUCUCAUCCACGCUCAGCGCAGCUUCCUCCACCUCACCAUGUGAGCAGGUGAGGCCCGUCCGUGCUUGGGCCACCGCCUAUUGCGGCAGCCAGCGACCACUAGGUUGCGUGGUCUGCCGAUUGUUGUUGUGCCCGGCUACUACGACUUCGAUAGGCAUGGCUAGCCGGUAGCUAACCCGGGAGCUAGCCCCCCACGCUCCUCUGCGGCCAUCUGGAGACCGACACCGACGAUGACGACGUUGACGAAGUCUUGUUGGUGGAUCCACCUCCACCAGUCGCCAGGCUAGACAAUUGCAGGGGUGUGGGGUCCAGCUCCAGCGACCUCUCCUACUAUACCAUCCUCCACACUGCCGCUGUCGUCGUUGCCACCAACACCACCCCUCCCCGUUCCGCCAACCACUUCCUAAGUUAGCGUCGCCCACGCUUCUUCGCUAGCUCUUCCCAAACCUCUUUGUCUUGUCGGGGGGUUCUGCACCGUCCACAAAUCAGGGCCCGAGCUACUUCAACAUCAGCACGGCUCCACUGCUACCCAAUGCCAAGAAUGACCCCCCCUGCGCAGCAUGAGAACCAGGUGCCACCAUGGACAGGGGUGAAUUGAGGACGUACGAGGUAUUCAAGAUGCUACGGCUCACCAAGCACAUGACAUCAACGAGACCGCCACUUGAGGUCGCGUGGAGAAGGACCAUGCAAUUCAAGACGCACUUUCUUGAUGUCUGGCCUGCAAUAUAACUAGUUCAUCUCGACGGGACUUCGUGCCUUCCGUGACAAAAUAAAUGGGCAUUGUUUCAUCUGUCUUGCCCACGACCACCGUGCCGCAACAUGCUGCGAGCCUGUUCGUUGCUUCACCUGCCUUCACUCUGGCUACCGCGCUCAUGACUGCAGCCGCGACGACAAUAUGCACCAUUCCUCACGCUCACGAGAUGCAACCCGAGGAUGUCCCCGCACGCCGAGCUUUUAGCAGCCUCUGCACCCACCAUCAGAGCUACUUAAGUCCAAUGAGUUAUUAAAUCUACAAGUUUUUUUUAUCACGCAAACUUCCAUUCUCCGCAAUGAAGUACAAACGGAUUGUUGCUAGUGCCACCUUACCUCUUCAUGCUCGGCUCAAUGAACUACAAGGAAAAAUCCAUGAUUGGCUAAGGAACACUGAGGAAUAUGUCCUCCAACCUGAGUUUACUGGCACUCAUGGGAAACACAUAUAGCAGCAAUGCGAUGUGGUCGACAAUGCCAAGGCUGCACCUACUCUCGUUGCACAGCAACCUCCGGUGCAUCAAGUAUUCAAUAGGUUGCUGCAAGACAUGCCAUUGGUUGAGACAUAUUGCACUUCUAGCUCCGUCUCUCACCAGGACAUGGAGGAUGCGCUCCAGAGACUUGAGAUGGUCGCCAAUGGCUACGCAAAGGGUAACGUGGGUGGCAUGUUGCCCCCCUUAUAGCACAGGGCCGGUGGCCACCAUGGAUCUGCAUGCUACGGACAAUGAGAAGGGCAACAUUGGCAAGCAGACACUCCCUUCCAUCAAAGAGCUAGCAGGCAACAAUACAUCACCAAUCCACAUCAAUACUCUAGUUUCGACUGUCCGCACCAAUGCAACCUCGACCGCAAUUGCUGCCAUUGACAACAACUUGGUAGGAUGCAGCCCGGCCACUCCAUCUCUACUGGUGUUGCAGCCACCCUCUCCACCAAGGGCUUCAACACCAACACCGGCUAGCUCCGUUGAUGUGUUGCUCCAAAAUGAUGGCAACACAAACACACAAAUGGGCGGUGAGACAGCUCCAACUGGUGAUCAUUCACCACCCCACCAUGCCCAGUGCUUCAACCCCCAGAGCUAGAGCUACAGAGACCUCCAACACCUACAACAGCUCCUCGCCAACGCCGGCGACGCACUUUUGAUAUGUCCUCAGUUCGACGUAGCGCACAUCUCUCCGCCACUCGUCCGAUGACUCAAAUGCAACAAGCUCAGCGUAAUCUUUGUUGCAAGCUUGGGCUUUUGAAGGAUGAGCCUCAACCAAUUGAGGCUGCACUACAAGAGUUCCUCGCCACGUUCAAUGGGCCCCUACCAGUGGAGGUGACAGCUGCUCUGAAUGAGAUGUUCAACCUUGAUGAUGGCGAGGCCGAUGCGAUGAUUAAUGCCCUAAUCGGUAUGGUUGGGGAGGGCAUUGAUGAUCUACAAGAGGCAGUGGAAAAUGCAGCUAUUUGAGGGCCAUAAUACAAGCUAAUGCUGCGUGUUUGUAGUAGACAAAUAGCAAUUGACAGUGAUGUUGAGUUGUGAAGUUUGUGAUGGUUGAUUGAUGUGUAGCAUUGAAGUAGUGGCUUGGAGUUGUAGCGUUUUGAGUGGUGCGGCGCGUGUGUUUGUUGUAGUUGCUUAGAGUUGGAUUCUUAUUUUUUUUCAUUUGUUAUAUUGCCCAAUUUGGACUCCAAUUUUUUUUAAUAUAAUCAGUAACUCUGUCCCCUCCACUGCCUUAUCUUAUCUCUCUCGUAUAGGAGCUGCUCAGCACUGGAUGAGCGAGGACGUGCAGUGCCUCACACGGGACCUCAAAGGGCCGGGGGCGAAGCGCUGGGGUUGUUGCGGCGGCAGUGGAAGAUGUCGGAGAGGUAUGUGGGGAUGUUCGAGGGAGGACACGCCAUUAGUCGAGAGAGGAGAUCGAUGGAUGCCUGGGUGGCUGGAUUCAAUGGGGGGAGGGAGGGAGAAAAGGAGAGAUGAGAGGCGAGGAUAGAGCAGCGCCGCUCCGCCUGCUACUCUUUGAUUUCUAACCAGCAGUCACUGCCAGCAGAGCCCGUCCGUUUGUGAGCUAGAGCCUGCUAUGCGACGCGGACGAAUGCCAUACUCCACCUGCUUUCGUGCACUCAUUCGAUGCUGCCUACUAUGCUAGGGCGAUUGCAGCAUGUCGUUCCGUGUCUAGAGCACCAUGCAGCCUCGGAGGCUUCUCGUCCUCCGCUUGCUGCACUCUAGUGUUCCCAGCGUUUGCAUGCGCUCGCCUGUGGCCUGUGGGGCGACGUGGAAACACGCAGAGGCAGGAGCAGAGCCGCGAAAUCACUACGGGAAAGCUAAAAAUUGCCGAGUGUAUUUUUUUUGCCGAGUGUUUUUUUGCGAGCACUCGGCAAACAAGCUCUUUGCCGAGUGCCAAGCCAAAAACACUCGGCAAAUCGGAGCUUUGCCGAGUGUCAAAUAAAAAACACUCGGCAAAGCCCCCUCUUUGCCGAGUGUCAAAAAAAAAAACACUCAGCAAAGAGGGAGGUUUGCCUAGUGUUCUUUUUGACACUCGGCAAAAAAAUAAUUUUUUUCCUCUUUUCACCAUGAAAUUUUUUCUACUCCCCACAUACAACAUGUGGUACUCCAUGUUAAAAUUUGGUAUAUUUUUGGAUUUAUUUGCUAUAUUUAUUUAAUUAAUUGCAUUUCAAGGAAAUUUUUGGUAUAAGUCAAAUUUGAACUGCAAGUGAUUCAAAUUAUGGAACAAAAUGAGUACAAAAAUGAUGUUCAUGUUAUUCGGCCCAAUUUGAGACCUGACCUAUGAAAUGACAAGAAAUUUCGAACAUCUUGUUCAGGAAACACGACCACGAACGUGUGACAGUGGUAUUUUUAAAUUAUAAAAAAAACAAGGAAAGUCUGAAAAUCAUGAGAUUUGUCAUGAUGCGAUGAUAUCAUAGGUGGAGGCUGUGGAAAAAAAUUGAGAAUGUUUUGCACAUUUCGUCACGUACGAUGUUUACAAACUGAAGCAUUUCAGAAGAAGAAUAGUAAUGUUGAGAAGGAUUGCAUAAGAUUUGGACUCAAAAUGACGGUCGAGUUUUGAUUUGACUACAAAACUUUUUGUACAGUCAAUAGAGAAUAUAUAUUAUUUCAUGUAAAUUUUUGACAAUUUUUUAAAACUGUUAGAUAUUUUUUUAAAAAAAUUUUAAAAUAUCUUUGCCGAGUGUCCUAGGUUAGACACUCGGCAAACAACUGUUCACCGAGUGUCACCCUAGGACACUCGGCGACCGUUCUUUUUUCCCACCCAGCCGCAAGCCUUAUCCCGGCCUUAUCUCCUCCUCACAUCUUUCUCUCUCCCCCCGCCCCCGGCCCCGGCGCCCCCCGCCGGCCGCCGCCCAGCGCCCCCCGCCCCGCCGCUCGCCGGCCGCCGCCCGGCGCCCCCAACCCCGCCGCCCGGCGCCCAGCGCCCAGUCCCCGUCCUCGCCGCCGCCCGACGCCCGGCCCCCGGCCCCGCCGCCGCCCCCUUCUUCCCCGGCUACCUCCCCUCCGGCCGGAUCCGCGCCCCCUUCUUCCCCUCCGGCGCGGAUCCGGCAGCCCCCACCUCUCUCCCCUCCGGAUCUGGCGCGUGGCAGCGGGCGGCAGCGGGCGUGGCGGCCGGUGGCGGCGUGGUGGCCGCGGCCGUGGCCGGCGGCCGACCGCCGGUGGUCUGUUUUUUUUUCCAAAAAUGUUUGCCGAGUGCUUUUUGAUACUCGGCAAAUCAUUUGCCGAGUGCUCGAUGUUCGACACUCGGCAACUCCACGUUUGCCGUAGGAAAGUUCGCCGAGUGCCGUUCGCCAAGUGUUACACUCGGCGAACUCUUUGCCGAGAGUUUUUCGGCCUUUGCCGAGUGCCUCAGGCACUCGGCAACCUUGUUGUUUCCGGUAGUGAAUGCUGACGAGCGAGGAAAGGAAAGCUCUCUUUAAGAAACCCGAUAUAGAUCGUAAAAACUUGUAUGGUUUCAAGUCAUCCAUUUGAUAAAGUCUACAUUUCGAAAUUGUAAAGUUCAGGAUCAGAGCAUGAACUCGACGGUAGCAUUGCAUUGUGUUUGGUCAGCACAUAGCGCAUGCUCUUGUGCCUGAUCACCCGAUCCCUCCUUCAAAUUUGCGGUUCCUUGGCUCCGCGACGCCGUCUUCGCCGUCGCAGCCGCGGCGAACCACCUCAACGCCGGUGAACACAGCAAACAUCUAGCCCCUCUUCAUCGUGGUAAGAGGUGCAGGAUCUUUCCUGCUUGACGGUCUUGAAGAACUGGGCGACGCAGAACUUGCCGGAGCCGAGGCCGAUGAGCUGGGGCGCCUUGACCACGUGCCAGUCGCCGCCCGGCGGAUCUAGGUCCAGCCAGGCGCGCAGCACCGGCCGGCCACUGUACACGGCCGAGGAGAGGUCGCCCGAGGCGCAGAGACGGUGGCCGCACUCGCUUGCCCAGAAGCCGACCAGGACGCCGAGCUCCGGGACGUGCUCGACCUUGCCGUGUCGAAGCAAUAGGUUCCGAUGCCUUCUGUGGACACGCAGACCGCGCCCCCGGCCAGCGCGCAGGAGUCGAUCGCGGUGCUCCGGUAGCCGGCGUCGCGGACGUAGGGCGGCGGCGGAAGCUCGUCUCGGCGCCAGCGAUUGGCGUCGUCGUUGGAUACGAAGGGCUCCUGGGAAGAAUUGCGGCGGACCAAGGCCUGGAACUGGGACGUGUAUUUCUCCUCCGAAUCAACGAACGACCUCGGCGACCUCUCCAUGACGUAAAUGCCGUCGUCUUCAUCGGCGCCGGCGAUGGGGAGGACGAUGGGGACGCGCCCGUUCACGCGGAAGUUGGGCACGGUGCUGUCCACGCAGAGCGCGGCGGCGUCGUAGACGAAGGUGGCGCGCGAGUGGUGGUCGAAAUACAUCAUCUUGCUCUCAGACAGCGGGAACCAGUCCAGCCUCCGGCCGAAAAGAAGCGUGGAGCGCGGCGGCACCUGUAUCCGUUCCAUCUUCUUCGGAUCCGGCGCGCCCGCCGCCGCCGCCUCUGUCGGAUAGAACAGGUUGUUGUGGUGCGAGUGGAGGUCGACGCGGCGCGCCGAGUAGGCGCCGGCGCACUCGGUCCGCGUCACCGGAUUCAGAAUCCGCCGCCGGUGGCUCAUCGUCGUUAGAAGACGAAGAGGAACGCACGCAGGCUGGGCACGGACAGAGCGAGGGAGGCUGUUGCUACUAUUGAUGGGCCUGUAUCAAGUUCACGGGCCUUUGACGGUCCAUGGGCCAAUCUCGACAUAUUUAUGAAUUAUGACCUGCACAAAAGAAAGGGGAGAAGCUCAAGCGUCCGUCCGACCUCCCCUGCACGCCGCACAAAGCGUCCACCAAUGCGGUUGCGGCGGCGCUACGCGGAGUUCCUCCGCCGCGCGGCCUCCCUGCCGUCGCUGCCCCUCGUGGCCUCCCUCCACGCCGCCGUGCUCCGCCGCGGGGUCCCGACCCUCCUCGCCGCGUCCCUCAUCGGCGGCUACUCAGCCUGUGGGGACCUGGCCUCCGCGCGCGCCGUGUUCGACGAAACGCCCCCGGAGGAGCGCACGCUCUCGGCCCGCACCGCGCUGGCCGGCGCGUUCUCAGCGCACGGGCGGUGCCGCGAGGCGCUGGGACUCUUCUCCGGCCUGGAGGCGGAGAUGGACGACAGGGCGGUGACGGUGCUCCUGGCGGCGUGCGCGCGGGCCGGGAUGGUGGGCGAGGGAAGGAAGGUGUUCGCGAGGCUGCCCCGCCCCGCGCUGCAGCACUACACGUGCAUGGUGGAGAUGCUGGGGCGGGCCGGGGAGGUGGAGGAGGCCGAGCUGCUGGUGGCGGGGAUGGAGGCGCGACCGGACAGGGUCAUCUUCGCGGCGCUCCUCGCGGCGUGCCGCGUGCACGGCCGCGUCGACGUCGCCGAACGGGUGCCUGGCCUCAUGCGCCGGUACAGCAUCGCAUGAGAACUCGAAGUCGGCAGUCUCAGUCCGAUUGAUGCAUCAGCAGUCCAGCUUGCGCCCGGAGAUGCAUCUGCUUGUCUUUCAUGCACUGGUGCGUUGAUUCUUGGUCUGAGAAGCUGAUAUGGGAUACAUGGCAAUGUGGUAGUGUUGCUGUUACAUCAUAUUCUGUCAUUCAAGCAGCAAGAGCCCCUGGCUGAUGAAAUCUGAAAAAUUCUUGAUGACAUUGACGAUGACUGUUAUGGAUGGAUUGUCAUGUACUUCAGUCUUCAGGCAUUGAUUGAACCACAUGUCUGGAUGCGAGGAAGGCCUCUAGCAGAUGCCUGGAAUGUUUGUGUGUAGUGUUGGGGAUCGCCCAAAAGAACGGUCUACCUCGAGGUUGUUCGAAUCUAAGCCCACUUCUGAACUCUGCAAAACUUCUAACCUAGCACAGGAAUCCGUAACCACCGAAGCCCGGAUCUGAGCCCGAAGCCAGGAAAAGGACUUACCCUGUUUGCUAAUGAAGUGAUCUAACCUCGGGCGCUCCUAGUUGGGAGCACCAAAGUGUUUGACUGUUUUGUGCAGGGCAAGGAGACAAGCGCUACCGAAGGUGAAUGAUCGUCGAGCAAAAUGUUGAAGGGUGCCGAGGCUCCUCUAAGCCGAACAAGCCCCCUGGCGCAGGACCAAGGGUACCUGGGCGCCCCGAAGAUGAUCCAGUCCGCUGAUGCGAAGACAAGGCGAUCUGGGCGACCGAAGCUAUGGGUGACCUCAGGCGCGAGGUCAAGAAGCCUGAUGACGUGAACAACGUGGGAGCGUGAUUUGCGGAACCAUGUGAGAGCGCUAAUCACGGGGUUGUCGGGUGGCAAGAAAAACGUGACUCCCAAAUGACCUUUGUGUAAAGCAUAUUCUGAGAAUGUAGUUGUUGAGCAAGGGUAAAGAUAUAAUGUAAAAAUCUCCUCUGGGCACUAUAAAACGGGAGCCCUACCCCAUUGUAAAUUUUUACGUUCACUGUUUAAUCGAGAGAUAGCUAUAGGAGUGAAUUUGACCGAAGCUAAGGAGAUCGCCCAUUCCUAACCGGUUGUGUCUUGACCUCGCAAGAGUUUGAGGCACAACAUUGGCGCCCACCGUGUUCUGAGCCAUCAAGAAACCCACGAUGCUGCCACAGAAGAAGAAGAGAGCCACAGACGACGAAGCUGCGGAAGAGGGACAGGGCGCCACGGUUGAGCAAAUCAGGCCACCCGUGACGGACAAGGAAACCAAGCUCAAAAUAGUGGAACACAACCUAAGAGUAAGAGCACUGAAGCAGAGAGUUGAACAAGGAGUCUCGAACGAAGUCCCACUGCCCACCAAUACCCAGGACGAGCCUUCGAGUGAGUCCGAAGAUGAGCUGGAUUCAGCACUAAAGCAAGUAGAGCUAUUGAGAAGAGAGAAGGAGCGCUUCACUCAAGAGUUACAAGCCCAAAGGUAGGCAACUGAGAAACUAGUAAGGUUGAAUGAAGCCAAGAGGCAAUUGGCAGAGCUGCAAAGAGAGCUGAAAGAACUCGAGUAACUUCGCCGUACAAUCAUAACCAGGGCCGCAAUCAGCAUCAAGCCCAAGUAAUGGCAAUCGAAGGCAAUCAACCCUCACAUCACAUACCAUAGUGGCAGCAAUCCUUCGGUUUCAAAUCAACACAAUCAAAACCAUUCCAGCUUUGGCAACGGCAACAGAUGCGGACACGGAGGAAGGGGAAGAGGCCGAGGCAAUGACCCUCCGAAGCCAAACAACCAGGUCAAGCCGCAAAAACCAUUCCAUUGUGUAUUCCAUGAAAAACAACUCAAUCAUGCAAUGGAUUGGUGCCCCAUCACAUUGGAAGUUAACGCAAAUUGAGCCGCGGAAAAGAAAGCAGUCAAAGAAGUGGCCCAAGCACACAAAAC